CACAUCAAGCCAGCAAUCUGAAAUAUAAACCAUCAUAGACAUAAACCUUAGAGCUAAAACUGUUCUCAUACUUAAACCUCUAAUCACCCUUAUCUCAAUAUCAUGGUAUCUCCACGUGUCUUCAUCAUCCUCGUAAUUACCUGAGACGAUAAUGUUGGUGGCUCUCAGUUCAUCUCCUGUGUAAGCCCACCGAGCACAGUUCAUGACGGUAAAAGAACACGUCGCCGAUCUCAACACAAGGGAUUGAACCCACUAAGUAUUUACCCUGGGUUUGAGAUCAGCGACGUGUUCUUUUAUCGUCAUGAACUGUGCUCUCAGACUGGGCUUACACAGCCAGCUACAACGUAGUUCCAAAGGUGAACCGAUACCCCCCCCCCCAUCAUUGUCGUCUCAGGUAAUUUGAGGAUGAUGAAGACGUACGUGGCUUGUUACAUUAGUCCCAGAAAAGAACCAAAUGUGAUGGCACAUUUGGAGCUACGGAAACUACUCAGUUACAGAUGGUGAGCUUCACGUUCAGUUCAUCGGCGACCCAUAGUCCAGGCUUAGCUCCGAUAACAAGGGAACAUCAAAAGAAAAAAAAAACUUGAUGUUCAUUAUCGGACUAAGCCUGGAUUAUGGGUCAGUAGAUGAACUGAACGGGAAGCUUGCCAUCUAUAACUGAGUAGUUUCCUUGUUUCUAUAUUUUUCUUUAUGUCUUUACCGAUAUGGCUCUCCUAUAUGCUUUAUCUUGAGGUAAUUUCUCAAAUAAAUGUUCUUUCUACAUCUCUUUAUCAUAGGAGUCUCAUUGUCUGUACCAAUUGCAUGCUCACAUGCUAAAGUCUUUACUAUAUUUGAGUAUUUACGAAGUUUGUUUGAUUGCUAAAUUAAACCAAUCACAUUCAGGGAAGAAUUAAGGUUGAUUCCAUUUUCUAAACCAGACCCAUUUAUUGUGAUAGAUAAAUACAUAUUUGGUAAGUUACAAACAAAAGAAAUGAAAAUUGCCCAAAGAAAAAAAGGAAAAAGAAAUGAAAUAUCUAUCACACAAAAACUCAAGCGAAAUUUGAUCGUGUGUGAUCGAACUAACAUCUUUUUAUUUUAUCUAUCACGAUAUCUUUUUUGUUCGUCAUUCAUUUUAAUUUCUAGGCUGAGCUCAAAAUUUCUCGAAAAAAUUGUUGUAACAUUAUGGAGGCAGAAGCAACAACUCUUCUUUGGAUCAUGACAUGCUUGGAUGAUCUUGGCUAUGAAGAGGUAAUUUUCGAGAGUGAUUCAAAGAUAUUGGUGAAAGCGGUAGCUGAACCUCGAGAAUGGUCAAGAUUUAUAGUCUAUACCAGAGAAAUCAACAAUACAAGAAAUAUAUUAUUUCGACCAACCAUCACUUUCCAAGCAAGAGAAAAGCCAACCAAUGUGUUGAUCUUACAGCCAAUAAAACCUCUUCAUAUGAAGUACUCUUUUGUUGAGAAGGAGAAACGAAUUUAUAUGAAAUAUGUUUGAGCUCGAAAAAACAAGAAAUAUAUGGCUUUAUGUUAAAAUGAUGAUAACUCUCCUAAAUUAACAACAACAAACCAAAAAAAAUGGGUGAUAAUCCUCGAUUACUAGUUUCGAUUCUAUACUAUUACAUUUCGGUUAUAUUCUCAUUUUCAAUCAACUUUCCAUUAUAUUAUAACAUGUUGACGUCAUAAAGAAAUUAUAACAUGAUAUAUAGUGAAAUACAAACGAUAGAGCUAUUAAAGUGGCAUAAUAAGAUGAUGCAAGAUCUGAUCCGAUACUACAGCAAAUAGAUAUUUGUCACUGGCUGGUCAUACUUUUUACCAUAAUAAUAAAAAGACUGUGCAUACAUUGUGCUUGGGUAUGCCUAGAUAUUCUAAGCAAAUCGGUCAUAAAUACAAAUACGUUCUGAAAAGGUACCUAAGAGAUAUUUAGCAACCUCCUCCACCACCACAACCUCUUCCUCCACCACACCCGCCUCUACCGCCAGACGCUUAUGGUCCAGCAUAUGGUCUAGCUCCAGUAUAUAUUGAUCCAUCUUUCGUCUCAUUUUUUUUAGAUUCUUUUUCACCGGUGCAAACAAAUACGGCCAUGGCUAUUACGGAUAAGGUGGCUGCAACCGCCAAUAUCCCCCAAACUAAACCAAAGCCACUGGUUCUAACGUCGCUCAAUAUGCUUCUCACCAUAUUCUCUUGUGUAUAUUUUGGUUAAGUUUGAGAUUUUGGAUUCGGUUUUGGGUAGGGAUUUAUAUAUGCUUUUUAGAUGUGAGAAAUAAAAAGCAUUAUUUGUAGAUAAUUUUUUGAAUGGACAAUGUUGGCUUACCGCUUACGUCACGUGUGUCGGUGUGUGGUUACGUAAGAGUAAUAUGUAAAAAUCUACAAGUUUCUCUGAUGUCAUAUAAGAAAAUUUCUUGGUUUAUAUGAGGUGGCUACUUUUCAACAUGCUUUAACAUUUGGUUCAAUAUAAGUGAUGCUCUUAUGAUAAGGUCUCUCUGGCUACUUUUCAACGUGCUUUAACAUUUGGUUCAAUAUUGAGGGAUGCUUAAAAGUCUUAUGAUAAGGUCCCUGAACUUUAGUACGUGGAUGGUCGUAAUCCAUACCUUGGAAUAUUUUGCUUACUAAUUCAUUAUUUGUCUUUUGAAAAUUUGAAACAAAUUUAUAUUAGAUUCUGAAAUUACUUGAUAUUUUUAUGUAAGACCUUUGUGGAACCAAUCCAUUUAUUUUGGGAGGUUGAUACAAUUGUUGUAGGAAGUAAAUUUAGAGGAGACAAAUAUUGCAAUGUAAGAAACCGAUUUGAGAUACAGAAAAACGUUUUGAAAGCGGAUUAAGGAAAAACGAGAAGUGGAGGCGAGAUGAUCUCUUUCCUUAAUUCAAAAUAUCUCCCGCAGUGUGGCGGUUGGAUGAGAUAAAGAAUCCCAGGAUACAACCACUAGUAUUUGUAUAAUCGCAGCACCCGAUUAUAGAAUGUGACGAACUGAUAUUCUACGAUAUACUCUCGGACACUUACUCUUGAAAGAAGAAAGGAGACGCGAGAGAUUUGAAGGAAAAGUGUGAAUGAUUUUUCUCUGUAAAUUUUCUGUAGAGAGCGAUCAAAAUUGGAAGAGGAAAAGUCGAUAUAUGUAGCGAAGGAGAGAGGAUCGUCGCACUUAAUCAGCGUGUUAAUGACGAGAUUAAUUUUGUGCUAAUGACGCGAUUUGGGCGUUAAUCUUGGCGUGAUUUUCAGGAGAGACAUUUGACUGCAGUUUAAUGUCGUGAUUCUGUUAAGAAUUUGAACCGAAAACUUUAGCAAUUUGGGCCAGAAAUGUUGACCAAAACGAGGCCCAAAAAGAACAUCUUUUGUGGGCCGAAGGCCCACAUUCACCAAGACCCAAGACCCAAGACCCAAGACCCAAGACCCAAGACCCAAGCACUACAAGAAAGAGGGGCUUUUCCGUCGAAUUAUUUACGACGAUUUGUAGUCGUCGUAAAUUUACGACGACAUUACGUCGUUUUUACGACGAUCAAAAAUUUUGUCGUAAAUUCGACGUAAAAAAUAACCCUUGUAAAAUCGUCGUAAUGUUACGACGAAUAAAGAACGAAUUUUAUUUCGUCGUAAUCUUGUCGUAAUAUUUACAUCGAUAAUACGACGAAUUGUCCUCUAUCUUGUAGUUGACGUAAAAUCAAUGUAAAUGUGAUGUAAAUUUUAUUUCGACGUAAAUUUGAUGUAAAUAUGCAAUGGUAAUAUGUUGGUAACCAAACAAAAAAUUCUAUAUAUACCCUUUCUUCUCUCAUUAUUCCAUCAUCCCAAAAAAACAUAUAAAAACACAAAUUUUUUGAGUCUUUGAAUGUUUAAGUAAAAUUUUUAGUAGUUGAAAUUUCUAUCAAAUUUCAGAAACAAAAAGUCAAAUAUUUGUUUUUGAAAUGUCUAUAUACGAUCUACGAAAGUGGAUGUAUACGCCCAAAAAUAGUGAUGGGUCGUUGACUGAAGACUUCAAAAACGGAUUGGAAAUAUUCAUGUACCAAGCCGGCCUUCUGGAAACUGUAAUUGAAAGCGGCAAAAUGUAUUGUCCUUGUGUGAAAUGCAAAAUAGGAAACAUAUUCUUAUUGACACUGUCUGGCAGCAUUUAUUGAAUAGAGGGUUCAUGCCUCAAUACUUUAUUUGGUAUCAGCAUGGAGAGGGAUAUGGUCAAAGUAGUGGUCAGAUGGCUGCACGGAGUAGUAGUAAUCAUCAAGAACAUGUGGAUUUUGAAGCGUCCAAUGAUUAUCAAAGUAGUCAAGUUCAGGGUGAAGAUCAUGAUAGGAUGCAUGAAAUGAUUACUGAUGCAUUUCAUGAAACACAUGCUGAUACUGUUGAGGAGCCCAAUGCAGAUGCGAAACGCUUUUAUGAUAUGUUAAACGCAGCAAAACAGCCUUUGUACGAGGGAUGUAGGGAAGGUUUAUCAAAAUUAUCAUUGGCAGCUCGGAUGAUGACAAUAAAAACAGAUCACAAUCUAUCUGAAGUUUGCAUGAACGAUUGGGCAGAUCUUAUUAAAGAGUAUUUGCCAGAUGAUAAUUUGGCUGCUGAAACGUAUUAUGAAAUUCAGAAGCUGGUUUUUAGUCUUGGAUUGCCUUCUGAGAUGAUUGAUGUUUGUGUUGAUAAUUGUAUGCUUUUUUGGAGAGAUGAUGAGAAGCUUGAAGAAUGUCGUUUCUGCCAAAAGCCAAGAUAUAGACCGCAAAUUGCUGGGCGUAAGAAGAUUCCUUACCAACGAAUGUGGUAUCUUCCUAUCACUGAUAGGUUAAAAAGACUAUAUCAAUCCGAACGGACAGCUGCGUCGAUGAGAUGGCAUGCGGAACAUUCACAAAAAGAUGGCAAAAUGACUCACCCGUCUGACGGGAAAUCUUGGAAACAUUUUAACACCGUACAUCCAGACUUUGCUAGGUCUAAGCGAAAUGUUUAUCUUGGUCUUUGCACUGACGGGUUUAGUCCAUUUGGUAUGUCUGGUAGGCAAUAUUCAUUAUGGCCUGUGAUUCUUACGCCAUAUAACCUUCCUCCAGAUAUGUGCAUGGAAAGAGAGUUUUUGUUUCUAAGUAUAUUAGUCCCUGGUCCAAAUCACACGAAGCGGGCCCUUGAUGUUUUUUUGCAACCACUCAUACAUGAGUUAAACCAGUUGUGGCAUGUUGGAGUACGAACAUAUGACUGUUCGAGUGGUAAAAAUUUUACGAUGCGAGCGGUGCUUAUGUGGACAAUAAGCGAUUUCCCGGCAUACGAAAUGCUAUCAGGUUGGACAACGCAUGGGAGGUUAUCAUGUCCUUAUUGUCUUCAUAGGACUGAUGCAUUUCAGCUUAAACAUGGUAGGAAAACCUGUUGGUUUGAUUGCCACCGUCGGGUUUUACUACGACGAAUUUACGACGAAUGGGAGUGAUCGUCGUAAAUUCGUCGUAAUAUACCAUCGAAAAUACGACGAAAUGUAAUCCCUAAAUCUUAUAAUCAAUCUUUUAUGGGGUUCAGAGGGGAUUUUGAUGAGGAGAAUGAAAUGGCUUACCAUCUCAUAAGGUAAAACAACUUUCUAAACAAAAAAAAAAAAAUUCAAAAUUUGACAUAUAUGUCUUUAUCAAGUAAUCUUAAGGUGUUAUAUACAUUUACACAAGAUGUAUGGAUUUAUCUUACAUCUUACUAAAUUCUUCAUUAAGUUAUGUAAACAUGCUAGAAAUUUAUACAGACCACAUUUAUCAUGAAUAGACAUGCUUGUAUGUGCUUAUGGAUGUUUCAAUUUUUGAAUUUCAUCAGUUUUGGUAUAAUUCGUCGUAAAUUCGUCGUAAUGUUACGACGAAUUUACGACGAUUUGUGGAUACACAGCCGUCUUAAUUUUUUUGAUUUAUAAGAUUCGUCGUAAAAUCGUCGUAACAUUACGACGAUUUUACGACGAAUAGCACGGAUCAUCGUAAACUCGUCGCAAAGCCCAGAUACAGCCACGUGUGUUUGUCUUACUCGCUUUGUUGUACGGUGGGACCUUUGCGACGAAUUUACGACGGAAUUCGUCGUAAUGUUUACGUCGAAUUUACGACGAAUAUAAAUUCUAUAUAUAGGACCUCACCCCUUCCUCAUUUCGUCGCUUAUCUCUCCUUCCUCUCUCUCUGCUUCCUCCUUGCCACCUCCUCCUUUUGACGCAAAAAAAAAGGUGAAUAAUUUUUUUUAAUUACUUAAAAUUAUAAUAAUUUUAAAUAGUUUAGAAAUUCAAACGGUUUAGGUCGGGAAUUAGUUUAGGCUCGGAAUUUGUUAGAUUUAGGAUCGGAAUUUGUUAGAUUUAGGAUCGUAAUUAAAAAUUAAUUGUAAUUAAUUUGAAAAAUAAUUUUUUUCGGUUUUGCAGACGAUGACUCGACGGAGGACGCAUUACAUCAAUUUCAUGGCGGACGGACAUUCUUCCCGGGCGUCUGCCUCGGGAAACACCGGGACCGAUGUCCCUUCAUCUUCCGGAGCCUCCCAGGUUCCGAAUACCGCGGAGCCGUCUCCACCACCGCCUCCACCACCACCUCCACCGCCGGCUGUCGAACCGGUACCCGCCCCGGCUGCCGAACCGGUACCCGCCCCUCCUCAUCUGUAUGUCCAGUUUACGAUUGAGGAUUUACUAGCCUUACCGGGACGGGGGGCUUUACGACGUCUGGUUCCCGGAAAAGCGGAACCAGGCUCUUAUUGGUAAGUAAACUUUUUUGUUUUUUUAUAGUUUUUAAAUUAACGCUUUAAUUUACUUAAAUAUUAAUGUAAUAAUUUUUUUUUUUGGUUUCAUAGGUUUACUUUGGAUAAUUGUGUCGGGCGGAGCGUUUCCGACACAAUUAAGAGUCAUUUCGUGGAGCACGUCAAUUGGAGCAAGGUGUCGCAAGAGACGUGCGACACCUGGUACAAGUGCUUCGCGGUAAUAUUUUUAAAAUCUUAUUUAUAUCAUUUUAAAUUGUUUUAAAUUUAAUUAAUCUUACUUUUAUAUUGUUUAUCUAAUUUUUUGUUUUCUUUUGCAGCAACGGUGGAACUGGGACAUCGGGAUCAACGAGACGGUCCGCGAAGCUUUCGAGGAAAAGGCGAAGAAACGCCUAGUCAACACCGUUUCCGAUUGGAAGCGGAAAUGGGAGACCGACGGCGACGACGCAAAGCCGAGCUCCAUGUCCACUUGGUGUUGGAACGGGUUGAAGGCGUAUUGGGUGGACCCGCAUGCCCAAACCACCGCUGCUAAGUGUUCGGCCGUCCGAAACCGGGUCGAUCCGGUGACUGGUGAGAAGUUAGUGAACCCGUACACUUCUGGCCAAAUAUCUUUUACGGGAAGACGUCUCAUGAUGGUAAGUAAUUAAAUAUAAAUUAUUUCAUUAUUAUUUUAAUUUUAUUUAUUGCUAGAAUUAAUUAAAUAUUUUUGACUAAUAAUGUUUAUUAAUUGGUAGGCCGAGGAGAACGGAGGAGAACUACCUCCAAUGACGAAGCUCUUCGAGACCACUCACCGGAAGAAGGACGGGAGCUUUGUCGACGCUCGGUCCGAGGAGAUCUACAAUGCCGCUUGCAGCGGAUCGCCGAGCGGGAGACCCAGGCCACACCUGACGGUACUAUCCAAGUACCGUUGACCGUCGCUGAGCAAGACCAGAUUUUCGAAGAGGUAUGAUAUCUAUUUCAAUUUUUUAAAAAUUUAUUAUAUUUAUAAUUACUUAAUAAAUAAUUAACGUUUUUAUUUUCCAUUUGUAGGUUGCUCCGAAGAAGAAGGGCCGAACCUUAGGGAUGGGCUCUAUUAGAGAUUGUCCUGCCGCCACGGCUUCCGGAUUCCGCACGCAGGAUCCGCAGCUUCGCCAGGAGCUUGCUACGGCCAAUGCUGAGAUCACCAGUCUCAGGCAUGAGCAAAUGGCCCAGAAGCAGGAGCUCACCGAGAUACAUGAUCUCUUCGACAUCAUUGCGGAAGCGGUUCCGCAGUUGGCCACCGCAAUCCGAGCGAGGCAACAGCGAGCACGGAGGGUUUUUGAGACCGGUGGUAAUUCCGGUACUGGACCAUCGGACCACCAGACGCAGGGCGGUCAGUCUUCGGCUCCGGUCUCAGCAGCGACGGGCGGUCAGACUUCGGCUCCGGUAGUGCAUACGGGAAACGUCGGCCUAGCAGCGACGGGCGGCCAAGACGGAGAGCCUCCUCGUGACGUCGAUCUCAACCUCGACGAUUACGACAUCAUUGUAUAGAUUAGGUUUUUUUGUAAAAAACAAUUUGUAUUAAUUUUUUUUAUUUAUAAAUUAUUUUUGAAUUUAAAUUUCAAUUUAAAUUCAAAUUUUUUCUAUUUUUAAUUUUUUGAUUAUUUUAAAAAUUCAUUAAUUAAAUAAAAUCGAAUUAAAUAAUUAAUUUAUAAAUCGACGUAAAUUCGUCGUAAAUUUACGUCGAUUUACCGUCGAAUAUUUAACGACGAAUUUACGACGAAUAAGUUUACGUCGGCUUUACGUCGAAACUUUACGACGAUUUAACAUCGACAAUUAAAAAUUUAGUUUCCCUUAAUUGAAAUUGUUCGUCUCCUAAUCGUUGUUAAAUCGAUGUAAUUUUACAUCGAUUUAACGUUGUUUUUAUGAUGGAGUUCUUUCGUUGUACAUCCGUUGGAAAUUUUACGACGCAUUUACGACGAAUUGUUCCCGACGAUUUUACGACAAUUUUCCGGAGUUGGUAAUUUUACGACGAUUUUACGACGAUUUCGGUUUUACGACGAUCGUUUUACGACGAUUUUUAAUUUGUCGUUAAUCCGACGUAAAUGCUCUUUUACGUCGAUUUUACGUCGAUAUCUGCCGACGUAAAAGCCGAUCUUUCUUGUAGUGAAGACCCAAGACCCAAGACCCAAGACCCGAGCCCGGCUCGGCUCGGCGGCGGCGGCGGCGCGCGAGGGGUCCUUGGUUCUCCUUCACACACUUUGAACUAUGUCAUGUGUGUGUCUAUAUUUAUAUGACUAGAAAAUUUUCCAAUCCUCCAAUGUGGGACAAAAUGAUGUUCCUCACAAUUUAAGUUGCCUUGAAGGGCUUUAUUUUUAUUCACACUUGACCAAAUUUUAAAGCCUUUGGGCUUUGUAAUAAUUUGGGUCCAACAAUCCCCCACAUGAAUAGAAAUAACUCUAGACAUACGACCGGACUGACUCGAAGACUGGACUCGACUAGACUAAACUAAACGGACUUUCGAGAGUAUAAACGAAAAUUCCACUGUGUUUGAGAUAGUAGUAUGUUUCAACCUUGAACCACUCAAUGUUAAUAUCUGUCGGGCUUACUCAGCUAGAAGGUGAACAUGAUGUCUUGAACCACCCGAAUUUUGAUGUAAACCGAGACAACAAAUACAACUCAGUUUCAUUUUCUCGUAGAACUAUGUUCUCUAUUGUGUUCAUUUUGGCCUUGAACUUGCCUGGUUAAUCAUGAGUGAAGUUGGAGAAUAUAGCCUUUUGUUUUUCCAUUCUCAUAGAAACGGCCCCAUUUCACACUCACUAGGUGAUUUGCCAGUAGUCUUUGUUUUAAGAAGUGUUGUACUUCACUGAUAUAUCAAAGCUACGGUCUUCUCAUUAACAGCUUUGCUUAUCCUUUGAAAAUAUACAAUGAAAAUUGUAUGUAAGCACUGUCAAUCAUCUUGGGACCUAGGUUAAGACUAUACGUCUUUCAGUGCUUUAGAUUUUGUUUGAUUUAGUUUUCCCUUUUGAACCAUACAUCUUGAGAUCUCCAGUCAUGUAGGUGGGGUUUCCAUCAAACAACCUCUUUAGUCAUAGGCUUUAAACCCAUUCCCUUUGACGAUUUGAGAACUUGAUCACGAGCUAGACCCUUAGUGAAUGGAUCUGCUAGAUUAUCAGCUGAUUUUAUGUAAUCUAGUGAGAUUACUCCGGUUGUGAUCAAGCUUCUAAUGGAUUUAUGUCGCUUUCUUAUGUGACGAGAUUUACCAUUAUAGAGAUUAUUUAGUGCCCGGGCGAUAGCUGAUUGACUAUCACAGUGUACACGUAUUGCCGGGACUGGUUUCUCCCACAUUGGAAUAUCUUCCAAGAAAUUUCGGAGUCAUUCGGCCUCCUCUGCAGCUUUAUCUAAAGCUAUAAAUUCAGACUCCAUGGUUGAUCGGGCCAGUAGAGUUUGUUUGGAAGACUUCCAAGAGACUGCUGCACCAGCAAGGGUAAAGACAUAUCCACUUGUGGAUUUUGAGUUUUUGGUGUCAGAUAUCCAGUUUGCAUCACUGUAUCCUUCCAAAACUGCGGGUUCUCUCCCAUAGUGCAGCCCAUAACUUUUAGUGUAUCGAAUGUAAUUUAAUACUCUAGUUAUGGCUUUCCAGUGUUUGUGUCCUGGAUUAUUUGUAUAGCGACUAAGUACAUUUACCGCGUGUGCUAGAUCAGGUCUAGUACAAUUGGUUAAGUACAUAAGGCUACCAAUUAUCCUUGCAUACUCGACUUGUGACACUGCUUCACCUGAGUUUUUGGUCAAGUGAAGUUGAGAGUCAACAGGAGUUUUUGCAGUUCCAUUUGAAUAGGUUUUAAACCGUUCAAGUAUCUUUUCAGCAUAAUGUGCUUGAGACAAGGUAAUCCCAUCAGAAGUUCUUGUGAUUUGUACCCCAAGAAUGACAUCUGCUAGACCCAUGUCUUUCAUGUCAAACUGUGCACUAAGCAUAUUCUUAGUUUGUUGGAUUAUGUCAUUAUUGCUGCCAAUAAUUAACAUGUCAUCUACAUAUAAACAUAGUAGGAUAUAUCCAUUAGGGGUCGUUUUUAUGUAAAUGCAUUUAUCACAUUCGUUUAUGCUGAAGCCAUCUGACAUCAUCGCAUUGUCAUAUUUUUCAUGCCAUUGUUUUGGUGCUUGUUUAAGUCCAUACAACGACUUCACAAGUCUACAGACUUUGUGUUCUUGUCCCGGGACUACAAAUCCUUCGGGUUGUUUCAUAUAGAUUUCCUCGUCUAAUUCACCGUUUAGAAAGGCUGUUUUGACGUCCAUCUGGUGGAUUUCCAAAUUUCGUAAGGCUGCAAUUCCAAUCAGCAUUCUGAUGGAAGUUAUUCUCAUUACUGGAGAAUAAGUGUCAAAGAAAUCCAGACCUUCUUUUUGUCGGAAUCCUUGCACUACAAGUCUAGCCUUAUAUUUAUCAACUGAGCCAUCGGUCUUCAAUUUCGUUUUGAAGAUCCAUUUACACCCUAGAGCUUUAAACCCUUCAGGUAACUCAGUGAUUUCAUAAGUAUGAUUCCGUCUAAUGGAAUCCAUCUCACUAUUGACUGCUUCCUCCCAAAGAGGUGCAUCGGGAGUGGACAUAGCUUCAGUAAAUGUUCUUGGUUCGUUUUCGGUGAGAAAGACCAUCAAGAACUCAGGACCGAAGGAUUUUUCCUUACGAGCUCUUUUGCUGCGUCUAGGUUCUAUCUCUUCGUCUUCUGAAGCAGGAACCCCAGAUGUGGUUGCCACAUCUUCCAGAGGACGUUUUAGAUUUUGUCUAUCCUUGCACGGGAAAAUGUGUUCAAAAAAUGAAACAUUUCUUGAUUCCAUUAUUGUAUUCACCUGAAUAUCGGGUACAUCUAAUUUGUGAACCAGAAACCGAUAAGCACUACUGUUGCGUGCAUAUCCAAUGAAAAUACAAUCAACAGUUUUUGGUCCUAUGGUGACCUUUUUAGGUGGUGGCACAGCGACCUUUGCUAAGCACCCCCACACUCUCAUGUAUUUGUACGAAGGUACUCUACCUGUCCAUAGUUCAUAUGGCGUUUUGCCAGUUACUUUGUGCGGUAUUUUGUUGAGGAUAUAGUUUGUAGUGAGAAUUGCUUCCCCCCACAGAUUCUGGGGUAGCCCAGAUUCCUGCAACAUUGCAUUCAUCAUCUCUUUAAGAGUUUGAUUUUUGCGUUCCGCAAUUCCAUUAGAUUCUGGUGAGUAGGGAGCGGUGGUCUGAUGUAUAAUGCCUUUUUCUAGACAGAAAACAUUGAAUGGACCAUCAUAUUCGCCUCCUCUAUCACUCCUAACAAUUUUAAUAGUUUUACCGAGUUGAUUUUCAACUUCGAUUUUAUAUUCUUUGAAUUUCUCCAAGACUUCAUCUUUACUUCUUAGUAAAUAGAUGUAACAGUAUCUUGUACAAUCAUCAAUGAAAGUUACAAAAUACUUCUUACCUCCUCUAGAUUUUACUAACUUUAAGUCGCACAAAUCUGUGUGUAUGAGGCCUAGAGGUUCGGUAGUUCGAUCGACAUGAGGAGAUGGAGUUUUUGUGAGUUUUUGUACGCAUGUCUCACAUUUAUUUUUGCUUAUUUUGCAUUUGGGGAUUAAGUUCGAAUUUAUUAAUCUUUGUAUAGAUUUAUAAUUCACAUGUCCUAAUCGUUCAUGCCAUAAAUCAAAAGACUCAACCAAGUAAGAAGAUUCAUUCUUAUUAAUUGACCUGGUAGAAGGUACAUCAUUUUUGAGGACAGUCAUUACACACAUUUUGAUUAAGUCCUCCUUAACAUAACCCUUCCCAAUAAAAACCCCAUGUUUCCUUAAAAUCAGCUGGUUAGAUCCAAUGCGGACGUCGAAUCCGUGCUUGUUGAUCAUGGUUCCAGAGAUCAGGUUUUUCCUCAUUUUUGGCACAUGCUUCACAUUGGUGAGGGUGACUUCUUUUCCCGAAGUCAUCUUUAAGACCACAUUGCCUAUGCCUUCAAUCUUGGAGUAUGACUCAUUUCCCAUCAACAAGUGCGCAUUGUUCUUGCAUUUCUUGUAGGUUGAGAACUGGUCUUUGUCCAUGCAGAUGUGAGUGGUUGCACCAGUGUCAUACCACCACGUUUUUGGGUUUGGCUCAACCAUGUUGACUUCUGUGACCAUUGCACACAGAUCAGCUUGAGUCAAGUUGGCUUGUCCUUUGUUGUCCCUCAGCCUGCUUCGACAUUCAUUGGAGGUGUGGCCCUUCUUGUUGCAAUAGGUGCACUUCCCAACAAAUUUGGUUUUGGGAGUUUCCUUUUUGAAGGAAGUGGAUGAUGAUGGAGCAAACUUGUUUUGCCUUCCUUUGGGAGGAAAUUUCCCGUUGCCUUUGACUUUCCCUUUUCCCUUGUUCUUGAACUCUGCUACAUUUGCAUUGUAGGAGUGAAAUGGUUCAGGGUUGACAGGCGUGGCAGCUUUUACCUCGCGUUUCAAAGACUCAUUUUGCAGCCUGGAAAUCAGAUUUGACAAGGUCAUAGACUUCUGCUUAUGAUCCAGAUAGUUUCUGAAGUCUGCCCAGCUAGGAGGUAGCUUGUCGACGAAGCAAUUCACUAUGAAGGUUUCACAGAUCUUCAUUCCUUCAUCAGCGAUUUCUUGACAAAUCAUCUGAAGUUCAUGGACUUGUUCCAUGAUGGGCCUUGAGUCCACCAUCAUGUACCUCGUAAAUUUGGAGGUUGCAUACCUUCCAGAGGAUACAUUGAAAGUCUUGUACUUCUUAUCCAAAGCUUCCCAGAGAUCCUUGGACGACUUGAUUUCGCAAUAGACAUUGAACAAUUGGUCAACCAAGCGGCUCUGGAUGUAGCCUUUGCAAAGGAAGUCCCCAUGGACCCAUGCUUCAACGCUUGCAACAGCACGCACAUCAGUAUUCCCAGUGGGCAAAGCAGGUUUGUCCUCGGUGAGAUACCUAUCCAAAUGCAGAGUGCACAGGAAAAAGUGCAUCUUUUGCUGCCACUGUUUGAAGUUGGUACCAUCAAACUUAUCCGGUGAGAUACCUGCAGCAAUAGCGCUGGGUAAAUUCGGAAUGUUUGUGGGUAGGGAUCCGAGUGCUGCACCUCCAACCGCUAAGGGUGUUGAUUCAGCGACAUCCUCUUGUCUUCCAUCAACGGAUUUCUCCACAUUUUUCGACAUCUGUUCCAAACGAGACAGGAAAAAAAAUGUCAGAUUCGUUGAAUAGAAUCGAUAGAAUAGCGAUUAAAAUAAGAGUCGCUAAUUUAUGCGUUCUGCGGAAACGCUAUAGAGCGGCCGUAGAAUCGCGUUUGAGUUUUGAACUCGAAAAGACGUUCACGGAUUUAACCGAGACGAUUUACAGACGCGGAAAGGAAGUUAUAAAAACUGUCCUUGUGUGGUCCAAUAGCGUUUCGCGUAACUUGCCAAAGGCCUUCGCGGAAACGGUUUCUUGUUAUAAAAAAAAAUCGUUUUUUCCUUAAAAACGUUUUCUGAAAAUCGUUUGUAUAGCAAUAUAGGAUCCGAUUCAAGCGAUAAGCAGGAUCGGAUUAUUUUGAAUUAAGACUGUAGGAAGUAAAUUUAGAGGAGACAAAUAUUGCAAUGUAAGAAAACGAUUUGAGAUACAGAAAAACGUUUUAUGAAAGCGGAUUAAGGAAAAACGAGAAGUGGAGGCGAGAUGAUCUCUUUCCUUAAUUCAAAAUAUCUCCCGCAGUGUGGCGGUUGGAUGAGAUAUAGAAUCCCAGGAUACAACCACUAGUAUUCGUAUAAUCGCAGCACCCGAUUAUAGAAUGUGACGAACUGAUAUUCUACGAUAUACUCUCGGACACUUACUCUUGAAAGAAGAAAGGAGACGCGAGAGAUUUGAAGGAAAAAUGUGAAUGAUUUUUCUCUGUAAAUUUUCUGUAGAGAGCGAUCAAAAUUGGAAGAGGAAAAGUCGAUAUAUGUAGCAAAGGAGAGAGGAUCGUCGCACUUAAUCAGCGUGUUAAUGACGAGAUUAAUUUUGCGCUAAUGAUGUGAUUUGGGCGUUUAUCUUGGCGUGAUUUUCGGGAGAGACAUUUGACUGCAGUUUAAUGUCGUGAUUCUGUUAAGAAUUUGAACCGAAAACUUUAGCAAUUUGGGCCAGAAAUGUUGACCAAAACGAGGCCCAAAAAGAACAUCUUUUGUGGGCCGAAGACCCACAUUCACCAAGACCCAAGACCCGAGCCCGAGACCGAGCCCGGCUCGGCUCGGCGGCGGCGGCGGCGUGCGAGGGAUCCUUGGUUCUCCUUCACACACUUUGAACUAUGUCAUGUGUGUGUCUAUAUUUAUAUGACUAGAAAAUUUUCCAAUCCUCCAAUGUGGGACAAAAUGAUGUUCCUCACAAUUUAAGUUGCCUUGAAGGGCUUUAUUUUUAUUCACACUUGACCAAAUUUUAAAGCCUUUGGGCUUUGUAAUAAUUUGGGUCCAACAAUUGUUAAAUUAGCAGCAUGUUCUAUAUGUAGUAGAUUGGUUGGUAAAGUAAAUCAGUCAUAGUCAGUGAAGACCUAAGGUAAAUUCAUUUUCUAAAAUCAAAAACAUUUAUUAUGAUAGAUAUUUGGCUAGUGGUAUAUGCUCGUAUUCAUAUAAUAAUUGAAUGAUGUUUGUAUACAUGCCAGUCGUCCUCAUUUCAUUUUCUAAACCAAAACCAUUUAUGAUCAACGAGAUUUUGGUUUGUAUAUGCUGAAUUCCAUAAGCGGAUGCCUCCAGAAGCCAUUGACCUUGCAUCUCGGCUUCUACAAUAUUCACCGAGUCUACGUUGCACUGCGGUCAGUAUCUCUACUAUACACGACCAAGUAUUUGUUGGAAUAAGCUUGAAGAAACUUGAAGUGUAAGUUUCCUAAUCCUAAUCAAAGUGUGUUUUAUAGAAGGUUAGGAUUAGAAAAGAAAAUUUAGGAGUUAUCUAAAUAAGAAAUUUGUUUCUCUAUUGGAAUUAGGAGUUAGCUAUUUUAUUCUCUAUAUAAGAGUUGCCAAAGUUGUGGUAAACCUUAUGAGUUGAAAGAAAUAUUAAGAGAGGUUUUAGUUUUUGAGUGAUUUUUCUAAAGCUAAUAAAAGAAGUUGCUUUUAUUCAUACUUGAUCUAAGUCUCAAUUCUAUAACUGGUAUUGUUGGGGUCGGUUUCAUCCCAAUCGGUUUAAACCAUCUCAAGAACAUUGGAGAGCCGAUCCGACAAGGAGAACCGGUGACCUGUCGAAAAUGGGCCGAGCCCCACAGAAGAAGGCCAAGCUCAAGUGGGCCGAGCCGUGAGGUGAAAAUGGGUGAGCCGCGUAUGAGAGCAGACGGGCCGAGAUGUGUCGUGAGGUAUGGGCUGAGCUGCACUUAACAUGAUUGGACCGAGUCGCGCCUCGGCGAGUUAGGCCAAGUCGCGUCUCAACUCGAAUGGCAAGUGGGCCGAGCCGUAGAGAAGGUUAGAUGGGCCGAGCUGUGAGAAGAAUGGUGAGCAGGCCUAGCAGCGCGAGAGGAGGCAUGGGCCGAAUCGCUUCCCUGUGUGUUGGGUCGAGCCGGUUUUCCAAGAUGGGCCGAACCAAGGCUUUAGAAGACGAAAGCCCACAGAAUUCCUAGGCGAAGUAUUAUGACGGUGGCCACACGAAGCGAUAAGGAAAUAUACCUAAAAUCUCUCCCAAGAUUCUCGAAAGAGGCGUUUUAAGAAAUUAGUAUAAAUAGGAGAUUUCUACGAUUCAUUAUAUAACUUUUGCCACCCUAAGCAAUAAGACCUAAACACUUUAACAGCAAUAAAAAUCCUCUUUUGAUCUUACUGUUCUUGCGAUUACCCUAGAAGUUUCGGAUCCCUUAGUUUUUCUCUUACAAAUUUUUGGUUGUGUGAGUUUUGGCUCACACAAUUUGGCGCCGACUGUGGGGAACAUCGAAACUUUCUUACUCUAAACCGAAAAGACUUUAAGAUCCGAAGAACAUGGCGAGCAAUACCCCCGACGAUAACCACAACAACAGAAACAAUGGUAACGGCGCGGAGAAGGACGCUCUGGCAUCAGGCACAACGACGGCAGCGACCGAAACCCAAGAGGAGAUGCGAAACAUGAUGGCCGCGUUGAUGAGGAAAAUCGACGAGGAGGACAAACGAAACGAGGCGAUUACGGAGAGGCUCGACGCGAUGGCGGCUGAGCGACAACACCCAACCUGGAGAGCUGGAAUUCCCGACCCAAUGGAUGGAAUCCGGAGACGCUUCAACUUUUCAACGCCUGCAGAGGCCUCUGGGAGCGGCGCAAGAAACCCCUUGGUUCGCCCAAUGUUUCGUCCCCUCGGCGAACAGACUCCCGCGGCAACCCGAGUCAACAUGACUGAGCCGCCUCCACUCCGUCGGAACUCAAGGCGACGAGCCGGCGAGGAGGAGAAUGACGCGAUUGACGUGGACGCCCAGCAGAACGAUGGAACCACGAAUCCGCAACAAAAUGGCUCGGCUCGGCGGAUAAGCUAAGAAGAGCUCGCCUCGGCACUAAACGGCGUCCGGACUGACGAAGUCUCCGAUCCGACUCACGGCGACAACCCGACUGAAGAAGAAGAAAAUCUCCAAUGGAUCGAGCAGGUGAAGCGCGAAGACGAGCCGAGGAGAGAAGAGUAGGAGCGACUCCCCCAAUCAAAAGGAAUGACUCACGCGCAAACUCUCGAACUCAAAGAGUUGCGAGCCUCAAUGGCUCGGACAGUAGCUGAAAUACGCGCCAUGAAGUCUCAAGUGCACAACGCAACGAGUGCUGCGCCCGAGAUCGACCGGAUGCUUGAAGAAACUCAGAGAACUCCAUUCACGGCAAGAAUCACGGAGGCAAGGAUUCCCGAGCCCGGAAAAGUGAGAAUCCUGUUCUACGAAGGAACAACCGAUCCGAAAGCACACAUCACAGCGUUUCGGAUAGCAAUGGGACGAGCCUUCACAAAGAACGCUGCCAAACUGACCGAGCGGGAAGUAGAUGCCAGAUACUGCCUGCUCUUCGUGGAGCAUCUUAAGGGAGCCGCACUCGAGUGGUUUUCGAGGCAGGAACGCAACUCCAUCGGCAGCUUUCAACAGCUCUCUGCCUUGUUCCUUAAACAAUACUCGAUGUUUAUGGAUAGAGGAACGUCUGAUGCCGACCUGUGGACACUAUCCCAAGGACCGAACGAACCACUUCGAGAUUACAUGGCAAGAUUCAAGGCAGUCGUAUCCAAAACAGAAGGGAUAAGCGACAAGGCUGCACUCGAAGCUCUGAAACAAUCUUUGUGGUACAAAUCCGAGUUCCGACAGGAGAUGGCACUCAACACACCCCAAACAAUUCAAGACGCUUUGCACCGGUCAUCAGACUUUGUCGUAAACGAGGAGGAGAUGAAAAAUUUGGACGAGCAGUACGAAGCAACGAAAGCAGCAAUCCGAAGCUCAAUUUUGACGGGCCCCUCGAAGAAAGGCGACCCAUCGAACAACACAACAACGCAGAGCUCGGACGAACCUAGAAGCGGAGGUGCCCAUAACUACCAGGUAGGCACCGGACGCGGAAGAGGAGAGCCGCGCAACAACACUUGGGUAAGAAAGUCUGCUAACUACGACGAGAAGGCUUUCUGCGAAUAUCACCAGACCUACAGGCACUCAACGACACAAUGCCGAACGUUAGCAGCAAAACUCGCGGCUAAGAUGGCAGCGGGAGAGCUCCAAAACGCGGUCAACCUCAAAGACCUCGUCCCUAAUGAACCACAAGAAAGAGCCGAGCCGAGCGGCGCGGCUGAACCCGCAAAUCCUCCCCGACAAGGCGAUAACUCCAAGCGUGACAGGAGAGGCGAACCUGAAGAGCGACCCAAGCCGAGGCAAAUGAUCAAUAUGAUCAUGGGAGGAUCUCAAUACUACCAAGAUAUCGUGUCCUCCAUCAAAGCCUAUCAGCGCCGAGCCGAAGCGAAGGAGAAUUGGACAGAACCAACCGACAUCCUAAAUACAGUGAUCUCCUUCGCCGAGGAGGAAACGGCAGGAAUCGAUAGACCCCACAACGAUCCAUUGGUGAUUGAGUUAACAAUCAGGGAUCAUGACGUAGCGAGGGUGCUCAUCGAUAUUGGAAGCUCGGUGAACGUCAUCUUCAGGGACACACUCAGAAGAAUGGGAAUCGACCUCUCCGAGGUGGAAGCAAUCCCCAAACGUCUAACCGGAUUUUCAGGAGAAACGACGAUGACUAUGGGAACGAUCAGGCUCCCUGUGGUAGCUGGCGGAGUCACGAAGAUCGUUGAAUUCUGCGUCACCGAUCACCCAACAAUCUAAAAUGUGAUUAUGGGAACUCCAUGGAUCAACGGAAUGAGGGUGGUCCCCUCCACCUAUCAUCUCUGUCUCAAGUUCCCGACUCCAGCGGGUGUCAAAAUGAUCUGGGGGAAUCAGAAGGAGUCACGAAUGUGCUGCCUAGCAUAGCACAAGCUGAGGAACCCCGUCACCGACGCACGAGCAGACAUAGAUCGCAAAAAGAUGAAGACAGACCGAGAGCCUGCGAACAAGCUCUUGAAACUCUUAUAGCACUUACAGAUCGCGGAGAGCCGCAAAACACGCGCCGAGCCGGUAUGUGAUGCGGUGGACUCGGUGUGCAUAGACGAGGCGCGUCCGGAGUGAUGCGUCAAAAUUGGAGCAAAACUAGAAGAGCCUCUGAGAAGCAAACUCCUUUCCCUCCUCAAGGAGAACAUCAACACUUAUGCCUGGACAGCGGAAGAUAUGCCAGGCAUAAGCAUCGACGUGACCUGUCACGAGCUGAACGUGGACCCGACCUUUUGAUGUGCUCGUGUCAACUACGUGAGGGAACAAGUUUUACCCUUAACAAGACAAAUGAAAGCCGCAAGUGCACAGCGAAUCAGUUGUAGUAUUUAGGGAUCAAAUCCACAGAGAUUUGUGUACCUGGUAUUCUUCUACGGUUUUUAACUUUAUGUCUAGACUAAAUUGGUUUUAAAGGUUAGUUGUUUUUCUUGCGAAUUAAACUAAAACAAAAGAAAGCAAAUAAAUAUAUCCUAAAAAACAGGUAAGAAAAUCGAAUGAAAUGCAAUUAGAAUAGGCAAAUAUCGAAUGAAAGACUAAUAAGGCAAGUAAGAUAUCGCAUGAAAAGUAAAUAAAGCAAGUAAAUAAUGAACUAAGAAAAUUGAAAUGCAGGUCUAAAAAAGCAAGUAAAAAUCGAUGGAAUUGUAAACUAUGGCUAAAAACGCUGAGCUUUUGGGAACUCUAAGGGAUCAUAAUCGGUUUUAACACUAAGGUAGAUAGAUUGGGAUUGACAGAUAACGAUAUAUGGGUUCUAGAGCUAGAGUACGGCGGUAUGACUACGUCACUGUCGUGAUCAUAACCAACAGUUUCUCGCAACCCUGACCAGUAGGUUUCCACUCUGGCCCUGGAAGGGAGAGAACGCAAGAGCUGCACAAGACUCGUCAAUACUCACGAUCUCGCCGCAGGUAGGUUUCCACUCCUACGGAAAAAUCGCCUGUUUCAUUCUAGGGCUGAUACUUAAUGAAAACUUUCGCAACACUAACUAUCUAGAUCAGAUACUAGGUGAUCAAUCAAGCAUACAUGCAAUAAGAACAAGAAUAAACAGAGAACAGGUCGAAAUCCCAGAUCUAUAAACCUAGAUGUCUUAAUCGAUUAUGAGAGCCCCUUUCGGGAACCCUAAGCCCAACUCGGGAUCUACUCAGACAUGGCUGAGUUCGAAAUCAUCAUUGGUUUUAAUAUAAGUAAUGAAAAACAGUAAAGAAAAGAGAUAAAGAAAGCUUCUCUAUUGAAGAACUCGGACUUGAACAAUCUUCUACAAAAAUCUCAUAAAAACGGCUAAAGGAAAAGGGUUUAUGUAAAGUAUGAAGGGUUCUCCUUAAAAACGACCUAAAUGACAUGUAUUUAUAGUCUCCAAUACUCUAUGGUCUCUAGGGUUCCAGAAUUGAGGCUGAGAAUGACUUUGGGCUUCAGAUAAGUGGGCUUUAACUCGGAGAUUGAUUGCCGCAGUCGGGAGUGUUGUGACCGUGGCAAUUGGCUUGUUGGCCGCGGUCGGGAAGCUUCUGACCGCGGCAAAUAGCUUGUUGGCCGCGGUCGGGUGAGUUGUUGACCGACUUCGAAUGGCUCCGGGGCUAAUGAAAUAUCUUGAGAUCCAACCAUUGGAAUGUCUCCAAACCAAGUGAAUUUGAAAGCUGGUUGAUUCUUCUAUAAGUUGUCCAAUUUUGAGGGUGAUCAGACGGUGAGAAGGUCUUCGUCUCUCCAUGAGAGUUCUGACGGUCUGCAUUUAUCCAAAAGAGUCUUUUUGUUCCAUUUUGUGCCUCUUUAUCCCAAAUUACCUGAAAAGUCUUUUAAAAUCUGGAAACAUAGAAAUCCUUUGAAAACCUUUGAAAAUGGAGUAAAAACACCUGUAAAAGAUAUUAAAAUGAUCCAUAAAAAUGGUCAAAAUCCGGUGUUAUCAACUCUUCCAGACUUAGUCUUUUGUUUGUCCUCAAAGAAAAUAAGGCUAAAUCUCGGCGAGAGGUUUGAAAACGCAGGAACUAAACAAAAUCUCAGAGACCAAACUUCUAGACCAAUAUCAAUCAGUAUGCAUCAAUAGGAAUAGCCUAGAAAAUUCUCACUAGCAAUACAGGCAUAACUAGUCCGUUAAUCCGUCAUGCAGAAAUCUAUGCACUAAGAUCUAACUUCCAGUCAACUAGCUCUUAACAUUCAUUAAAAAUCUCGGUGGUUCUCAUCAAAGAAAAUCUAGGCAAGGCGAUCUAGGCUAGGUGUCAAGAAGGAUUAUUUUGGGGGGUAAGGCUUAAAGUGUUUACGGGUUACCUGAAGAUUUGGAGGAUGCAGGAUAUUAUGCAAAACCGCAAGAGAGAGUGAAGCUAUUGGUAUCCACAGUUUUCAGUUGGUGAGAAGAUGGAGAAUAAAAGCGAAAUAAAAUAAAAUAAAAAGAAAAGAAAAUGAUGAUAGAACCGUGAUGGUAGUGAAGUGCUGAUCAAUCACUCAUCCUCCGAAGUGUCGUCUGCGAACUGGUUUCGUCCAUUUUCUGCAAAAUGAAAUGAUUCUUGGAAAAAGAGUUAAUAUGGAUGCUGAUUUUAACACAUUAAGAUUUGUUACACUAAUACUAGCAUAAAGAGAUUAAUUAAAACCAUGAGCAAACAAAAUUGAUAUUGAAUCAGAGAAAUCAAGUAGUUCAUGACUAAAUUCGGAUUUUUGAUGUUCUUAACAUAGAAAUCUUCUAAAAAUCGGUUUUGAUGAGCAAUUUCCAUGUAAAAUUCUAAAGAUUACCCAAUACUAAUCACUAAUCACACAAGACUAAAUCAAAUUCAUCAAUUUUGCUGUUCCAAAUUCGAUUUUUAUUAAGCAUGUAGAAUCCAAAUUUCAAAAAUCUCAAUUUCUCUUAAGCUAAGUGCUAAAUCGAUUUUUAGAUAACCUAAAUGGAUAAUGUAUCAUUCUUAAGCUAUUUCCACCAUCAAUAGACCAAGAUUUUGGGUUUUUAAAGAAAACCCUAAGUUCAAAUCGAGUAAGAAUGGUGAAUUUGAGGUUCAUACCUUGCUGGAAAGAGAGAAUUGAUGGCAGAAUUGAAAUCAGCUUUGAAAAAGAGUGAGGUUUGAGCCAAAAAUCUCUUAAAAAGCUUAAGAAUUGAAAAAUGUGUUCUUUCUCCUAGAUCUUUAAGUCUUUUGGAAGAGAGGAGAAGAAAGAGUUUUGAUCCAAAAAGUUUGUUUCUUUUCUUUAAAAAGCAUUUUUGAAGCAAAAACGAAAAAUUUCUGGAAAUUUUUAAGUUUAUGGGAACUUACCUUUUCUUGUUUGCACAUUAGGAAAGUUCAAAACUUACGGAGGAUCUUUUCGGGUUUUACCGGGAACAUUUCGGGAAACACCGGGAAUCACCAGGCAACACCGGGAAAUACCGAAAAAGGCAGAAAUCCGCGGCAUCACCUCAACGACCAACGGCCGCGGUCAGGAGACGCGCGACCGCGGUGAUUGAGGGCUCGGCCGCGGUCAUGUUCACGGUGCCGCGGUCGACGCACCCUUGGCCACGGGUCGAACGGUCGCCACCGCGGCUCUUCCUCCUGCGGCCUAUUGUCCAAUCUUCUAGUCUUUGCCGGGCCGAGCGGCUAAAAACCUACCUUUUCUUCUUGGUUUUUCUAAUUUUCUGAUUUUUUUGUGUUUUUGUUUUAUAACAUACCUAAAACUUAAAAAGAAAAAGAAAGCAUAAAUUGUAAAAAGGAAAAGAAAACUAAAAGAAAGAGUACCUAAAUGGGUUGCUUCCCAUUAAGCGCUUUUGUUUUAAGUCGUUUAGCUCGACGUAAGCAUGAGGAAUCAGGCUGAUUUGAAUGGCACUCCACUUGAUGUGCCUUUAUCACUUCCGGUUGCUGGAGGUUUUACUUCUUCUCCUUGAGGAGAAGUCUUCUUACCUUUACUCUUCUUUCGGACUUUAAUGUUGUUCAGAACCCUUUUUGUGUUUUUGAUCAGCUCCUGGAUUUGGUCCUCACUAGUUUCUGUUGCAUCUGGUGGAAUGAUGAUCUUGAUCUUUGCAAAAGCUUUCGGCUUCUCCUUUUCUUUCUCUUUUGGCAUGUUUCCUUUGCUUGGAAAUUCUUCUAAGAUAGUAGGAUAGUACAUUUUUCUGUCCACAUUGAGGAAAACAGCAUGCCGGUUUGCGUGAUCGAUAAUUGCUCCUACUGUAGCUAGGAAUGGUCUCCCGAAAAUGAGUGGCCUCUCCAUGUCUUUAUCCAUCUCUAGGACUUGGAAAUCUGCUGGAACAGUCUUAUCUCCCACUAGAACUUGUAGAUCGUGAAUCGCCCCUUCAGUAUCUUUUUGAGAUAAAUCUCCAAAGAUAACCUUAACCGUCGAUGUCCUUAAGGUUUUUAUGCCCAAUUUUUCGGCAAAUGUCUUAGACAUGAUGUUGACAUUGGCUCCGGAAUCGCACAAGCAGUCUGUAAACUUGAUUCCUGAAAUGAAACACUGGAAAACAAAACGUCCCGGAUCAUCGGCUUUGGUAAGCCUUUGAAACGGUGAUAGUUCAGGUACCUUAAACGGUGGCUGCUUGGGAUCGAUAUCCUUGUACAGCGGUACAAAGAUUGGGGUUUCUUCUUUCUUUCCAUCGGUUCCGGCCUCUUCUUCGGGCAAUGUGGUUAUGGCGUUGCAAAACUUCUUAGCGUUAUCUUCAACUCUUCCUGGAAGAACUCCACUUUUCCUCUUCAUAGAGUCGGCCGUUUGGGCGACUUGCACAUCUAAUUUUUUUACGUGCGAAGAUAAAGAUUCAAACUUACCAUUCAGAUCAUUGUACAUGCAGACCACUUUCACGUUCACGUCUUUAGAUGCUUUUUCGUUCGUCAUAACGAGCUGUUGGAUUGACUGUUCAAGUCUACCGAUUUGUGAAGCUAGCUGGUUCGUCGUGACUCCCUGCUGUUGUACAAAUUGAUUGUUAAAACCCGUACCUUGGUAGUUAUAUGGCUGUCGCGGUUGAUAUGGUACUAUUCCUCCAAAGUUUCCACCUUGAAACUUGUUUUGGAAGGAUUUUUGCUGAGGUGGGUAGUACUGAUCUUGAGGAUUCUCCACAUUUGGAUUGCGGUAAGAGAGAUUGUUGUAAUUUGCAUUCCGGAAGUUGUUGUUGAAGUUGUUGUUGGAGCGAUUUUGGUAUGGCAUUAGUGCUCCUACGUAGUUCACAUCUUCUUCUUGAAAUGCUUGAUUAAUGUGAUCGAUAUCACUAGGUCCUUCCUCUUCUGCGCCAUUUUUGGUUUCACAGGCAUGGAUCGGGCGAUUGUUGCUCUUCAGAAGCUGGUUCACCAUGUUCUUCAACUCGGUUAUCUCCUUGUUGUCUGUUCCGGAUUGCUUCAUCGAUCGAUCGUAUUCAGGACAGUCAUUGCUAUUGGCUUGAGCCAAAUUUUCGAUGAGAGCUCUUCCUUGGGUUAUCGUCUUUUGCCCAAAAUCUCCAUUGCUAGCUGUAUCAAGUGAAAGUUUGUAUUUUGGUUGCAAACCUCGAUAAAAUGUGCUUAGCAGGCUUGAUCCAUGAAAUCCAUGGUGAGGAGUCACGUUCAUAUUCCUUAAAACGUUCCCAAGCUUCAUAGAAAGAUUCAGUUGGCCCUUGUUGAAAGGUUGAGAUCUUCGUUCUCAAAUUGUUCGACCUUGACUUAGUGUAGAAGUGGUUUAGGAAAGCAGUUCUACAUUCUUCCCAAUUGGUAAUCGAUCCUGCAGGCAAAGACUUCAACCAACGGUGAGCUUUAUCUGCUAAUGAAAAAGGGAACAACUUACACUUUAAAUAGUCAGGUGGAACUUGGUUUGUUCUCAUCAUGCUGCAAAUUUCUUCAAAAAGCUCGAUAUGGUCCAUUGGGUGCUCAGAAGGAACUCCAUGGAACUGGUUUUGCUUCACCAAUGAGAUGAUUUGAGGCUUGACUUCAAACUCAUUCCGGUUUGGAAAUGGUACUUGAAUCGCAGAUCGAUUCUGAAAAUUUUGAGUAUGUGCAUCAAAAUCAGCUAUGCGAUGGUUCUUGGCUUGUCUUUGGUGUUGAUUUGCUGGCGGAAUGGGGCGGUGAAUGCGUUUAUUCGGCUGCAUUGCUGGGUGGUCACCAUCGGCUGCAUUGAUGGGUGGAUCAAGGUCUUCACGUCCUUCUCUCUCUCGGUUCUGGUGGUUUCUUGGAAGAACCUCAUCCUCCUCUCCAUCUUGUCGAGCAUGAUCACCUUUUAUGUGAUCAUUCUCUUUGUUUUCUCCAUGUUCGGACCCGUCUUGGUCCAUAUUUAAAUUUCGAUUAAUAGGAUCUCUAGGCUGGUCGUCGUUGGCCAUUCCUUGCGUUCGUCUAAGUCUUCGAAGUUUUCUUUCGUGUCUGUCUAUCUCGUCUAGAAUUGGAAUGUCUCCUGCAGGUCUACGCCUGGUAUUCAUGAAAUUCAGAGAAAAACAAAAGAAGGGAAAGAUAGUUCAGAAAAACUUUAAGAAAGAACUAGAGAUCAGGUGUCUAGAACAGAAGUUAAAACAAGAAAAAUAGCAAAAGGCAGCGAAACAAAUCCCCGGCAACGGCGCAAAAAACUUGAUGUGCUCGUGUCAACUACGUGAGGGAACAAGUUUUACCCUUAACAAGACAAAUGAAAGCCGCAAGUGCACAGCUAAUCAGUUGUAAUAUUUAGGGAUCGAAUCCACAGAGAUUUGUGUGCCUGAUAUUCUUCUACGGUUUUUAACUUUAUGUCUAGACUAAAUUGGUUUUAAAGGUUGGUUGUUUUUCUUGCGAAUUAAACUAAAACAAAAGAAAGCAAAUAAAUCUAUCCUAAAAAACAGGUAAGAAAAUCGAAUGAAAUGCAAUUAGAAUAGGCAAAUAUCGAAUGAAAGACUAAUAAGGCAAGUAAGAUAUCGCAUGAAAAGUAAAUAAAGCAAGUAAAUAAUGAACUAAGGAAAUUGAAAUGCAGGUCUAAAAAAGCAACUAAAAAUCGAUGGGAUUGUAAACUAUGGCUAAAAAUGCUGAGCUUUUGGGAACUCUAAGGGAUCAUAAUCGGUUUUAACACUAAGGUAGAUAGAUUAGGAUUGACAGAUAACGAUAUAUGGGUUCUAGAGCUAGAGUACGGCGGUAUGACUACGUCACUGUCGUGAUCAUAACCAACAGUUUCUCGCAACCCUGACCAGUAGGUUUCCACUCUGGCCCUGGAAGGGAGAGAACGCAAGAGCUGCUCAAGACUCGUCAAUACUCACGAUCUCGCCGCAGGUAGGUUUCCACUCCUACGGAAAAAUUGCCUUUUCAUUCUAGGGCUGAUACUUAAUGAAAACUUUCGCAACACUAACUAUCUAGAUCAGAUACUAGGUGAUCAAACAAGCAUACAUGCAAUAAGAACAAGAAUAAACAGAGAACAGGUCGAAAUCCCAGAUCUAUAAACCUAGAUGUCUUAAUCGAUUAUGAGAGCCCCUUUCGGGAACCCUAAGCCCAACUCGGGAUCAACUCAGACAUGGCUGAGUUCGACAUCAUCAUUGGUUUUAAUAAAAGUAAUGAAAAAAAGUAAAGAAAAGAGAUAAAGAAAGCUUCUCUAUUGAAGAACUCGGACUUGAACAAUCUUCUACAAAAAUCUCAUAAAAACGGCUAAAGGAAAAGGGUUUAUGUAAAGUAUGAAGGGUUCUCCUUAAAAACGACCUAAAUGACAUGUAUUUAUAGUCUCCAAUACUCCAUGGUCUCUAGGGUUCCAGAAUUGAGGCUGAGAAUGACUUUGGGCUUCAGAUAAGUGGGCUUUAACUCGGAGAUUGAUUGCCGCAGUCGGGAGUGUUGUGACCGCGGCAAUUGGCUUGUUGGUCGCGGUCGGGAAGCUUCUGACCGUGGCAAAUAGCUUGUUGGCCGCGGUCGGGUGAGUUGUUGACCGACUUCGAAUGGCUCCGGGGCUAAUGAAAUAUCUUGAGAUCCAACCGUUGGAAUGUCUCCAAACCAAGUGCAUCUGAAAGCUGGUUGAUUCUUCUAUAAGUUGUCUAAUUUUGAGGGUGAUCAGACGGUGAGAAGGUCUUCGUCUCUCCAUGAGAGUUCUGACGGUCUGCAUUUAUCCAAAAUAGUUUUUUUGUUCCAUUUUGUGCCUCUUUAUCCCAAAUUACCUGAAAAGUCUUUUAAAAUCCGGAAACAUAGAAAUCCUUUGAAAACCUUUGAAAAUGGAGUAAAACCACCUGUAAAAGAUAUUAAAAUGAUCCAUAAAAAUGGUCAAAAUCCGGUGUUAUCACCUUUAAGCCAAUCAAGCAGAAAAGAAGAAAGCUCGGCCCCAAACGAGCUAAAGCAGUUAACGACGAAGUCGAGAGAUUACUCAAAGUAGGAUCAAUCGCCGAGGCCAAAUAUCCGGACUGGCUCGCGAAUCCGGUGGUCGUGAAGAAGAAGAACGGCAAGUGGCGGGUCUGUGUGGAUUUCACUGACCUCAACAAGGCGUGCCCAAAAGACAGUUUUCCCUUGCCACACAUCGACCGGCUUGUCGAAGCCACUGCAGGAAAUAGAUUGUUAACAUUUAUGGACGCGUUCUCUGGCUACAAUCAGAUCCUGAUGCAUCCUGAUGAUUGGGAAAAAACGGCAUUUAUAACUGAUCGCGGGAUAUACUGCUACAAAGUCAUGUUGUUCGGGCUCAAGAACGCGGGAGCAACAUAUCAACGGCUCGUCAAUAAAAUGUUCGCGGCUCAGCUCGGAAAAACCAUGGAGGUAUACAUUGACAACAUGUUAGUCAAAUCACUCAAGGAGGAAGACCACGUCGCGCAUCUACGGGAAUGCUUCGAGCAAUUGAACAAGCACAACAUGAAACUAAACCCGGCAAAGUGCAGAUUUGCGGUCACCUCGGGAGAAUUCCUCGGCUAUCUGGUAACUCACUGAGGCAUAAAAGCAAACCCCAAGCAGAUCAAGGCAUUAAUCGAGAUGCCCUCUCCAAGGACGAAGCACGAAGUGCAAAAGCACACAGGAAGGGUCGCCGCGCUAAACAGGUUUAUUUCCCGUUCUACCGACAAGUGCCUGCCUUUCCACGACACCCUUCGGGGAAACAAGAAAUUCGAGUGGGACGAGCGAUGCGAAGCAGCUUUCCAAGAGUUGAAGAAUUAUCUGGCGAGUCCACCGAUCUUAGCAAAACCAGUCGAAGGAGAGCCGCUCUUCCUCUACAUCGCCGUAUCUGCUACAGCUGUGAGUGGAGUGCUUAUCAGAGAAGAACGACCCGAGCAAAAACCCAUUUUCUACAUCAGCCAGACACUGACCGACGCCGAGACCCGCUACCCCCAGAUCGAGAAGGUCGCCUUAGCCGUCGUAGUCUCGGCUCGCAAACUGCGCCCGUAUUUUCAACCACAUUCAAUUGUUGUGCUCGCUACACUUCUGCUGCGCUCGAUCCUACACAGCCCGAGCCAAUCCGGUCGGCUCGCCAAGUGGGCCAUAGACUGAGCGAAUACGACAUCGAGUAUCGGAACGGGUCGUCUGCAAAGUCACAGGUGCUCGCAGAUUUUCUCAUCGAACUUCCAGCCGAAGCAACGAACGAGCCAACCCCGGACGAAGUAUGGACGCUGCACGUCGACGGCUCGUCAUCUAAACACGGCUCAGGAAUAGGAAUCCGCCUCACCUCUCCCACAGGAGAGAUACUGGAGCAGUCGUUUCGCCUAAACUUCCACGCCUCGAACAACGAAGCAGAAUACGAAGCAGAAUACGAAGCACUGAUCGCCGGUGUACGACUAGCGCAAAGAAUUGGAGUUCAAAAGAUAAUAACCUUUUGCGAUUCACAGCUCGUAGCAUGCCAGUUCAACGGAGAGUACGAGGUGAAAGAUGGACGAAUGGGAGCUUACCUCAACGUGGUCCGAGAGUUGGUGCAGAAGUUCGACGAGUUCGAGCUCACACAAAUUCCCCAAGGAGAAAACACCUCGGCUGACGCCUUGGCAGCACUCGCCUCGACCUCAGACCCAGACCUCCGACGGACGAUUCCAGUUGAAUUCAUCGAACGUCCUAGCAUCGAAGAGGUAGAAAGAGUUCGGCUGAUAAAUCCUCCCGAACAAGAACCGGAAGACGACAAAGCCAUUCCUAUGGACGAAGACGCCCUACCAGCCGAGCCGGAGUACGGCUGCAACAAAAAAUGGCUCGGAGCUAUCCGAGUAUAUAUCGCCGAUGGAGAAGUCCCAACCGACAAGUGGGAAGCCCGCAAAUUAAAAGCAUAGGCCACGCGGUAUGUCCUUGUCGACGGAGAGGUGUUUAAAUGGAGAUUUUCAGGACCUCUCAUGACAUGCGUCGAAGGACCGGAGGCAAGAAAGAUCAUGCACGAACUGCACAGCGAAGCGUGCGGAAACCAUUCUAGCGGAACGUCGCUCGCUAUCAAGAUAAAACGGCACGGUUACUUCUGGCCUACGAUGGUCAAGGACUGCGAAACAUUUACGGCAAAGUGCGAGAAGUGUCAACGGCACGCUCCAACAAUUCAUCAACCUACCGAGCUGCUCUCAUCAAUUUCGUCAUCUUACCCGUUCAUGAGAUGGUCGAUGGACAUCGUCGGACCUCUACAUCGAUCGAAGCAGAAGCGCUUUCUGCUCGUCCUCACGGGUUAUUUUUCCAAGUGGGUCGAGGCUGAUUCCUACGCAAGCAUAAAGGAUGUUCAAGUCGAACACUUCGUAUGGAAAAAUAUCAUCUGCAGACACGGGUCCCCUACGAGAUAGUCACCGACAACGGAUCCCAGUUCAUCUCGACGCGUUUUGAAGCCUUCUGCGAGAAGUGGAAAAUCCGUCUAAGCAAAUCUACACCAAGAUACCCUCAAGGGAACGGACAAGCUGAAGCAGCCAACAAGACAAUCCUAGACGGUCUGAAAAAGAGGCUCGACGCCAAGAAAGGACGAUGGGCAGACGAACUCGAAGGAGUCCUUUGGUCGCAUCGAACGACCCCGCGCCGAGCCACCGGAGAAACUCCAUUCGCUUUGGUCUACGGAGCGGAAUGCGUAAUUCCCCCCCGAGGUGGACUUCCCAGGUAUUCGACGAAGACUUCUACCAGGACAUGAGGGCUUAAACCACUUAAUGAUGCUAGAUGAGCUCGAUCUAAUCAACGAAAGGCGUGACCAGGCUUUAGUCCGAAUCCAGAACUAUCAACAAGCAACGGCGAGGUACUUCAACAAAAACGUUCGUAGUCGAAGAUUCAAAGAAGGAGAGCUCGUCCUUCGAAAGAUUUUCCAAAACACUGCCGAGAAGAAUGCAGGAAAGCUCGGAGCAAACUGGGAAGGUCCUUACAAGAUUACAAAAGUAGUUCGCGCAGGAGUCUACGAACUCGCAACCCUAGCUGACGAAGCGAUUCCAAGAUAAUGGAACGCAAUGCAUCUAAAGAAGUAUUAUCACUAAAGCUACAGUACGGUCAACAUGAACUACGGGACGGCUUGAUCCCUGCAAAGGGUACGUAGGCAGCCCGUCCUCGGACGGAUUCAGCUGUCCCCCCUCCUAAAAAGGGGGGGGGGGGAGUGGGUACGUAUACACAUACUUUCAUUUAACUCUACAAUUUUAGCUCACCUACCUAGGAACAUUGCCACUUCGGCACAUUUUCAGUUCGUUUUAAGUUAUCUACUUAUUUCAUGUUCACCUCGGAAUUCUAGUUCGUUCAUUAUCGCUUCGGCUAGUUUCUCAUUCUUUUAAAUCAGCAGCUUAUUUCAUAAUUCGCCUCGGAUUCUUUAAUUCGUUCACCCAUCACUUUGACAUGUUAUCAUGACUUAAUCGUCUCAGACCUUUUACUUGCCUUCACUUUCAGUUCGACAAAUUAAGUCUCCAGACGCCUCGUCUCGUUGCUGGCCACAACGGGACAACGGAUACAAAGUUCUCUAAACGGACUUUUACCACCUUUCUUAGGACGAGGGUGCAAGUUACAUCCUCUAUGAAUAAAAUUAAAGCGCGCUAUACAAAUAUCAGACCAAAAACGUAUCGGUCGCCACAGUUUACUAUCGCACACAGAUUAUAAGUCGAGACUACAUCGCUUUCUCUAAAACCGAAGUGAACUCUUAAAACCCGGCAAAACACACUCAUCCUCUCGGAAACGCCGGUCUAUGGUCAUAUUCAACGAGACUACUAUAUCCUCUUGAUCUUUCGCCUCGUCAAUGAGAAAACACAUAACUUACCUGAUAAAUACUUCGGCUUCUUUCUCAAAACAAUCUUAUAACAGCUCACCUCAAUGCGGACCUCUCUCAGUGACAGAAUGGAUAAACCCCAAAUCAUUUUUGGUUAAUAAAAACAAAACGCCUCGUCGUUUACACGGCUCGGCAUCAUGCAAAGAAAAACGCCUCGUCGUUGAACACGGCUCGGCAUUACCAACAAAAGUUGCCUGGAUAUUAUCACUUAACACUUUUUAGCGUCACCUAAAACAAAAGACGCUCCACAAACCAACUCCCAGCUCGGGAUUCAGAACUCAAACGGGAUCCUGAACAACUCACCCCUUAGCCCGUAUUUCUAUCAAUUUCAAAGAAUUCGGCUAGAAAAGCAAUCGAGAUCAUUCUCGACACAGCUCGAUAAGCCAAUCGGUGACAACUCUUUCCAAACAAACAGUUUUUGUAAACAUUUUCACGGAUCGUCAAGGACAAACGAAUCAAAUCCGAAAACGGCUAAGGAAAAGAUAAUAUAACCAAAUGGAAAAAUAACAGUCAGGUGGAUAAAGCCAUCCAGGCACCGGUUUCACAAGAUUUCAAGAAGCAGAUAACAUCACCUAAAAUCCUAAGUACAAAAGCAUGUGAGACGAAAAGAUAGGAGAAAGCGGAGAGGAUCAGGCCGCAGACUGCGUUUCACACUCGGCAAGGAGGUUCGAGAGGGCCGGCGUCUCCGCAUUCGAUCCGGUCGGAUCUACGACGCCCAGGUUGGCCGCUGUCUCCUCGAGCGGCUCGUUACCGAGACUGGUGUCCACCUAGUCCGGCGAUACGGGCGAAAAAACCAGGUUACCUCGAAUCUCAGAGGCAAUGCGCUCAUACGCCUCGUCGUCGGCGUACUUGCUCUCCCAGCUCUUCAGCUUCGCCUCCUCGUCAUCGAGCGUUGGGGCGUCCAGUUUCAUCAGGUCGGCAAUCAUCGCAAGAUUGCCCUUGAUCUGCCCCAGCUCGUUCUUGUCGGUUUUGGCCUUCUCGAGCUUGGCCAAACCUUCCUUUACCUUGGCGAGGCGUUCCUGAAACUUAUCCUUUGCCUCGAUACGCUUUUUGAGCAACGCCACCUCGGCGCUUUUAGCUCUCCUAGCCUCCUCCAGGCAAAUAGCCGAGGCGGAGACCUUGUCAAUAUUGGUGCAGAGAACUAUCUUCUCCUCUUCCAGCCUGGACACCCUGGUCAUCGCCUCGUCCAGCUUCCCCUUUGCCAACGCGGUCUCGUUCGGAGCCUCGUCCAAGCGACGUUCAACCUUAGACAGGUCCGUCUCGUAUUCAGCCAUCAGCUCGUUGAUGGUCGCUACAAACUGCAAGGAAUAAUGCGCGUUAAACACUUGGUACCACGCUGUGCCAUCGCGCCGUACGACCUCGGUCUCCUCAGCUUUUCUGGAGGAGGAAGACGCGUGUUCGCAUUAUUAACGCGCGCGAACAUUACUGCCGAGGCGUCAGGGUCGUCAACGACCAGUUUGCGCGCAGCGUGAUCACCGGGAGUCGACUUGCGCUUCUUCUUGGACGGCUCAUCUUUUGGAUAGCAACGCCCGCUGAACGUUUCCGGCUAGGGUCGUGCUUACGUACAACCGAGGUCGGGGGCCUCGAUGACUUCGGGAGAGCCAGAAUAGCGGAAUUUGAAGGAGUUUUACUCCGCGCCGCCGAGUCAUCUUUGGACGCCUCGGGAAUAAUCUCGCCCGGUUCCACCUCGGGCGCUGUUUCUUUUUCGGCCGCCUCGGCAACGUUCGCCUCCGUGGCUCGGACCGUGUCGUCACCUUCACGGCUCGGCGGAUCGGUCUGAGGGAUAGCCUCGGUCUCUGUUUGAGCCGCCUCGGCGGCUCGUCUCGCGGCUUCUUCCUCUUCACGCCUCUUCUUAUCUCUGAGAGUAAUGAUCACCAUUUUCUCUCUGGUAUCUCUUGAGGAGCUGGAAGAUGAAGAGCUAACAGGGACUCCGGCAAGAAUAGCUCGCGCUUUUUCUACUCUCUCAAGUGUGAAAUUCUUCCUCCAGUUAAGCUUCCGAGCCGAAAGGGAGUCUCGAACAAUAAAGAGGUCGUCGGGAAUCGGGGAAAGAAUAUUCCGAACUGCAAAAACAACGCAAAAAGAAAAAAGAUUCAGUAAGGGAAAAUGCAAAAAAAACAGUUCCGAGCCGAGGCAAAGCUUCGGAUCGGCUACCAAGUGUCCCCAAGCGGUCUUGGUUUUUUUAAUGUAAUCCUCGCCGACCGACGCCUCGUUCACCAAGACAUAGAAGAAGCGUUCGGUCCAAAACUGAAACUUGCUUGGAAAACCACCUAUAAUCCGGCGAUUGGACUUGUUAGAAAUAUAGAAUCUAUCUCCCUUCGGAGCUUUCCUGAUUUUCAGCAAGUUCAGUGAUGUGCUCGUGUCAACUACGUGAGGGAACAAGUUUUACCCUUAACAGGACAAAUGAAAGCCGCAAGUGCACAGCUAAUCAGUUAUAGUAUUUAGGGAUCGAAUCCACAGAGAUUUGUGUGCCUGGUAUUCUUCUACGGUUUUUUAACUUUAUGUCUAGACUAAAUUAGUUUUUAAGGUUGGUUGUUUUUCUUGCGAAUUAAACUAAAACAAAAGAAAGCAAAUAAAUCUAUCCUAAAAAACAGGUAAGAAAAUCGAAUGAAAUGCAAUUAGAAUAGGCAAAUAUCGAAUGAAAGACUAAUAAGGCAAGUAAGAUAUCGCAUGAAAAGUAAAUAAAGCAAGUAAAUAAUGAACUAAGGAAAUUGAAAUGCAGGUCUAAAAAAAGGCAAGUAAAAAUUGAUGGAAUUGUAAACUAUGGCUAAAAACGCUGAGCUUUUGGGAACUCUAAGGGAUCAUAAUCGGUUUUAACACUAAGGUAGAUAGAUUGGGAUUGACAGAUAACGAUAUAUGGGUUCUAGAGCUAGAGUACGGCGGUAUGACUACGUCACUGUCGUGAUCAUAACCAACUGCUUCUCGCAACCCUGACCAGUAGGUUUCCACUCUGGCCCUGGAAGGGAGAGAACGCAAGAGCUGCACAAGACUCGUCAAUACUCACGAUCUCGCCGCAGGUAGGUUUCCACUCCUACGGAAAAAUCGCCUGUUUCAUUCUAGGGCUGAUACUUAAUGAAAACUUUCGCAACACUAACUAUCUAGAUCAGAUACUAGGUGAUCAAUCAAGCAUACAUGCAAUAAGAACAAGAAUAAACAGAGAACAGGUCGAAAUCCCAGAUCUAUAAACCUAGAUGUCUUAAUCGAUUAUGAGAUCCCCUUUCGGGAACCCUAAGCCCAACUCGGGAUCUACUCAGACAUGGCUGAGUUCGACAUCAUCAUUGGUUUUAAUAAAAGUAAUGAAAAACAGUAAAGAAAAGAGAUAAAGAAAGCUUCUCUAUUGAAGAACUCGGACUUGAACAAUCUUCUACAAAAAUCUCAUAAAAAGGGCUAAAGGAAAAGGGUUUCUGUAAAAUAUGAAGGGUUCUCCUUAAAAACGACCUAAAUGACAUGUAUUUAUAGUCUCCAAUACUCCAUGGUCUCUAGGGUUCCAGAAUUGAGGCUGAGAAUGACUUUGGGCUUCAGAUAAGUGGGCUUUAACUCGGAGAUUGAUUGCCGCGGUCGGGAGUGUUGUGACCGCAGCAAUUGGCUUGUUGGCCGCGGUCGGGAAGCUUCUGACCGCGGCAAAUAGCUUGUUGGCCGCGGUCGGGUGAGUUGCUGACCGACUUCGAAUGGCUCCGGGGAUAAUGAAAUAUCUUGAGAUCCAACCGUUGGAAUGUCUCCAAACCAAGUGCAUUUGAAAGCUGGUUGAUUCUUCUAUAAGUUGUCCAAUGUUGAGGGUGAUCAGACGGUGAGAAGGUCUUCGUCUCUCCAUGAGAGUUCUGACGGUCUGCAUUUAUCCAAAAGAGUCUUUUUGUUCCAUUUUGUGCCUCUUUAUCCCAAAUUACCUGAAAAGUCUUUUAAAAUCUGGAAACAUAGAAAUCCUUUGAAAACCUUUGAAAAUGGAGUAAAAACACCUGUAAAAGAUAUUAAAAUAAUCCAUAAAAAUGGUCAAAAUCCGGUGUUAUCAUUCAGCAGGUGAUUCAGUUCGAUAUCAAGCCUGCACUCAAAGCUUCGAACCAAAAUGCCAAUCAUAUGCCGUAGACCCCUCGGCAUGAUCUGCCUAAUUGAGAUCCCAUGUUUCCAGAGGUAUUCAAGGAUAACUCCAGGGAUCGGGAACCAGAGAAAUCAAAGCUCGAAGAACGCCUCGUACAGAGUGAAGUGAUUCUCGGGAGGCUUGUCGUCUCGGUCGUUCUUAUCUGGAACGAUAAACUCCACCGCCUCGGAUAUCUCGAAACAACGCCUGAACGCCUCGAGUGAGUCAGGGGAGGAAUGCGUAGAACCAGGCGGGUCAGGUUUUUGUCUUUUCACCCGUUGCCUUCGCCCAGAUGAAGAAGCGCCUCAGGACGCCAUGAAACGUUCUAAUUCAUGCUUUGCCUCGAACAGAUCAAAGGGAAACGCCUCCUCCUCGGCUUUUACUGCAGCACGAUUAACGUCUUCGUCAAGAGCGGGACCCUGAGGCUGGCUCGUCGAAACCGACGGCUCGUCAUCUAGAGAGCGGGCGCCUGACGGAUUUGAAUGAUUCGACGCCUCGUCGCUUUCAGGUGAACGGUUGGAAGGGCUCGGCGAAAUGGAUGCCUCGGAAGAUUCUGUUGCACUUCUCGCCUCGGCAUUUACAUGGCUCGGUUCGUAGUUAAAAAGCGAAUCCAACGAAUCAUCAGAACGGUUCGACAUGAUUUACAGAUUAUACGGGAAUUACAAGGUUACACGGCGAACUUCCAUCGGAAAAAGAUCUAGAGCGGCGGAGACCUCAGAACCCUAGACGGAAAAUAAAUAAACAAGACAGAGAAAGAAGAGAGAAGGGAGAGCUACCUUUUAGUGAAAACGAGUGGAUCUGAAGAUUAUGAGAAGGAACAAAAGAGCUCACCUAUUUAUAGAAAAACCGAAGCGCGUGGGUUAUGUGUGAACCUCGGGAGACCGUCCAACAGCGCGUGGGAUCCGCGGCGUAUUAACUAGCUCCAACUGCGUCGGUUACACGCGCCAAUAAAUCAGGAAAAUUCUUUCGGAAGACCAACGGUUGGGAUACCUGAGUUUUCAGCCGACAUCUCGCCACAGUAAACGCCUCGUCGUUAACAAAACGGCUCGGCAUUAACUUUUUCUUGAAACGCCUCAUCGUUAUCAAAAUGGCUCGGCAUGACUUUCUCAAAAACGCCUCGUCAUUUAUUCGGCUCGGCAUGACCUUCUCAAAAACGCCUCGUCGUUUAUUCGGCUCGGCAUAAUAUUCACAAGUCGCCUCGCGUACAACCCUCUUCUAAGGAUAUCUUCCCAAACAGCAUAGACCGCGCCACGCCUCGUCGUUAAACUCGAAUCACGGCUCGGCAUUAUCAACACAAACGCCUCGUCGUUAAACUUGAAUCACGGCUCGGCAUUAUCAACGUAAACGCCUCGUCGUUAAACUAGAAUCACGCCUCGGUAUCCUUGACACCCUCUGGGAAUGCCUCGGCACUUUUUCGAAAAAGCGUCUCAUCACUAACGAGGCGGCUCGGCACAUUCUUCACAUAACCUCGCCAAAACGGCUCGCUACUACACACUGUCGAAGGGCGGCUCGGCAUCUUUAUUUCCAAAACGCCUCACUUGGGACUGUGUCGCAACAGCUCGACUCGAUGGUCUAUCCUAUGAACCUCGUCACUCUCGCCUCCGAAACUGACGAGCUGGGGGGCUAACUGUUGGGGUCGGUUUCACCCUAAUCGGUUUAAACCAUCUCAAUAACAUUGGAGAGCCGAUUCCGACAAGGAGAACCGGUGACCUGUCAAAAAUGGGCCGAGCCCCACAGAAGAAGGCCAAGCUCAAGUGGGCCGAGCCGUGAGGUGAAAAUGGGUGAGCCGCGUAUGAGAGCAGACGGGCCGAGCUGUGUCGUGAGGUAUGGGCCGAGCCGCACUUCAACAUGAUUGGACCGAGCCGCGCCUCACGAGUUAGGCCAAGUCACGUCUCAACUCGAAUGGCAAGUGGGCCGAGCCAUGGAGAAGGUUAGAUGGGCCGAGCUGUGAGAAGAACGGUGAGCGGGCCUAGCAGCGUGAGAGGAGGCAUGGGCCGAAUCGCUUCCCUGUGUGUUGGGCCGAGCCGGUUUUCCAAGAUGGGCCGAACCAAGGCUUUAGAAGACGAAAGCCCACAGAAGCCCUAGGUGAAGUAUUAUGACGGUGGCCGCACGAAGCGAUAAGGAAAUAUACCUAAAAUCUCUCCCAAGAUUCUCGGGAGAGGCGGUUUAAGAAGUUAGUAUAAAUAGGAGAUUUUUACGAUUCAUUAUGUAACUUUUGCCACCCUAAGCAAUAAGACCUAAACACUUUAACAGCAAUAAAAAUCCUCUUUUGAUCUUACUGUUCUUGCGAUUACCCUAGAUGUUUCGGAUCCCUUAGUUUUUCCCUUACAAAUUUUUGGUUGUGCGAGUUUUGGCUCACACAGGUAUCAGAGCUAAAUCGAUCUCUAGGAUUAUGGUUAUUUUCUUAUUAGAUUAGGAGAUAUCUAGUUUUAAUAGGAAAAGGAAAGUGGCUUAGCAAAGUUGUGCAAACCACUAUAUAUAUGUAAGUCAUUGAUGAUGUUGCAUCUAAGAGUAUUCGGAUGCAUCAGUUUUGCAAAGACAGAGGCUCAACACUUGAAGAAGCUGGAUGAUAGAUCACGAGUACUUGUUCACUUAGGAACGAAACCAGGAUCAAAACCAAGAAAAUAGUUGUGAGCAGGGAUGUGAUCUUUGAUGAAAGCAAAGGCUGGAAGUGGGGUGAGAAGGAAAUCAGUAACAACACUGGAAUUUCUAUAAUCAGUUUUGGAGAACACAAUUAUAAUAACUCAAGGGGAGAUGACCAUGAUCUCGAAGAAGAAACAGAGGAAAAGGAGGAAGAGAGUUCCGAAGAAGAGGUCACUGAGCAUGAAAUACAAGUUCCCAAACCCGAGACAGAGAUGAUAUAUCAAGGAGAAGAAGUUGAACAAGGACUAAGGAGAUCAACAAGGUCAAGAGUAAGCCCGAGUUAUCUCGAUGACUUUGUCACUUUAGCCAAGAUUGAUAGUGAACACCUAUUGCUACUUAUAAACGAAGAGCCAUGGGAUUGCAAUGAGCAAAAGGCUGAUAUCUUAACCAAGGCACUAGGAAGAAACAAGUUCAAGGAGAUGAGAUAUCUCAUUGGAGUUCUAGGUGUGUCACAAAAGGAUUUCAAGCUUAAGGGGGAGAAUGUUGGAAUAAGCUUGAAAGAAACUUGAAGUGCAACUUUCCUAAUCCUAAUCAAAGUGUGUUUUCUAGAAGGUUAGGAUUAGAAAAGGAAAUUUAGGAGUUAUCUAAAAAGGAAAUUUGUUUCUCUAUUGAAAUUAGGAGUUAUCUAUUCCAUUCUCUAUAUAAGAGUUGCAAAAUUUGUGGUAGACAUUAUGAGUUGAGAGAGUGAUUAAGAGAGACUUUAGUUUUUGAGUGAUUUUUAAACAAUGGAGAUACCAGGUAAUUAAUCUGGUAUCCCUUUCUCUCUGUUUGAAUGUUCAAACAAUUAUCUGGAGCUUCCCCAGAGCUUAUAAACAGGCUAGUACCAGAGCACGUUAGGCGACAGAUGAGUGGAGGCUUUCCAUUUCAAGCUGCUCCGUAUAAACGACUUCGAAACCAAGAUGCUUUGUUCUUGGUAGAUAAGCCCAUCAAGCUUUUGCUUGGGGAUGUAGAAUUUCAAUUAUUUUAGGGGCCAUUUAGUAUAAAUAUUAGUUGGUUAAGAUGGUGCAGUGAUCUAUGAAAAAAGUGUUUAUUUGUCAUUGUAUUUGGCAUAUUUUAUUUUUAAUCAACAUUAUAUUAUAGAAAUAACUUUUCUUAAACAAUUUAAAAUAAAACAAAUGAAACAAAAACUACAAAACUCCAUCGUCCACUUUACUGUUCGCAUCUACUAUUCAAAAUAAAGAAAAUAACAUAUAUAUUCUAAGUGGAGGUUAUUGGGGAUAAAACGUUUCCUAAUUUUAGUAACAACUAAUAGCAUUUGCAGAUUUUUGCAAGAAAAAAGAAGUUAAAUCCAUUUCUGAAUUGGAAAAAAGGUUUGAAAAUUUCUCAAAACAGAAAGAAAAGAAAAUAGUUAUAAAAAAAAAAGCAUAUAUGUAUUUCCAUUCCUAGACGAUUCUUUACCGAUCUUGCGUGGUGAAAAAAGUAAUACUCAUAUUUUUUCUAUGUUUGGUGUUGAAGAGAUUUUCCAAUAAUCUAUUAUAAAAGAUAAACUUACUAUUACGAAAGAAAAAUUAGGAAAAAAAAUCUGUAUAUACAUUGUUCACUCGAGCUAAAACUAUAGAAACUAAUGAAUAAUUCAACAAAAUCAGGAUUCUUUCUAGUAAUGAUGAAACUUAUUACAAAUAAGAAAGAGUACAAAUAUAUGUGAUCCCAGCUUACAAUGAACCUGCUCCCUACUUAGCAAAAACAAAACUUUUCCAACAAUGUUUUCUAUUCUAGUUGUAUUUAUUCCCCUAUCUGGUUAACCCCUCUACUUCAUUGUGACUUUGUAUGUUCUUCACUUUCUGGUCAAUAUAGAUAUGCUUCUUGUACAAUUACAUGUAAUCCCAGUUUCCCACUCCGAAACCAAACUUUCCCACAUAAGGUCAGCAAUCUAAAAUCUUAUAUAAACCAUCAUAAACAUAAACUUUAGAGCUAACACUGUUUUCAUACUUAAACCCUCUAACCACCCGUACCUCAAUAUCAUGGUACAUACUCCUCUCUAUUGCUAGAUUCCCACUUUCUAGAGCUUCUGAUGUUGAAUCUGCCUGUGGAGCUUAUCUUGACCACCGUGAUCUACCAGAACAUCUCCAUGUGUCUUCAUCAUCCUCGUAAUUACCUGAGACGAUAAUGCUGGUGGCUAUUGGUUCAUCUCCUGUGUAAGCCCACCAAGAACAGUUUCAUGACGGUAAAAUAAGACGUCGCUGAUCUCAACCCGAAGGGAUGGAACCCACUAAGUAUUUAUCCUGGGGUUGAGAUCGGUCGACGUGUUCUUUUACCGUCAUGAACUGUGCUUGGUGGGCUUACACAGCCAGCUACAACGUAGCUCCAAAGGUGAACCGAUAGUCAUCAGCAUUGUCAUCUUGGUAAUUACGAGGAUGAUGAAGACAUACGUGGCUUGUUACAUUAGUCCCAGAAAAGAACCAAAUGUUCUUUCUACAUCUCUUAUCAUAUAAGUCUUAUUGUCUGUUCUUUCUCUCUCUCUGUUUUGCUCCUAUGGCAUUUUUGUCUUGCUUUAGCUUGGGGUAAUAUCUCGAAUCAAUGUUCUUGUUACUCCCCUUCUCUUAUCAUAGGAAACUCAUUGUCUGUACCAUUUUCUAGUUCACAUGCCAAAGUCUUACCGUUUUAGAGUUUUCCUUAAACGCAAUCAUUUUGUAUUCUCUCUCUCUCCGUUUUGCUCAUAUGGCAUUAAUCUGUUGCAAAAAUGAUGCAGAUGAAGAAUAUUUUGACAAAACAUAAACCUUUCUCUGCUCGUUCGCUGUUCUGUCUUUCCUUCUCUCUACGAUAUCUGCAAGGCAAGAUAAAUGUUCUUUCUACUUCUCUUAUCAUAGGAGUCUCAUUGUCUGUUCUUGCAUGCCCACAUGCCGAAGUCUUAAUAUAUUUGAGUAUUUUCGAAGUUUGUUUGGUUGCUCAAUUAAACCAAUCGCAUUCAGUGAAGAAUUAAUGUGGAUUCCAUUUUCUAAACCAGACCCAUUUAUUGUGAUAGAUAAUACAUAUUUGGUAAGUUACAAACAAUAGAGAUGAAAAUUGCCCUAAGUAAAAAGGAAGAAGAAAUUAAAUAUCUAUCACACUACAAGACAUGUUUGGACCACACAAAAACUCAGGGUUUAAUAGUUUGAUCGUGUGUGAUCAAACUAACAUAUUUUUGAUUUUUGUUUUACAUUUGAUUUAUUUUGUGUGGUAUCAACCAAUGUUCUAUUUGUUUUACAAAGAACGAUAGGAGUCUCUUCCAAAAUUUCAUUCUACAUUUCAUAAUUCUUAUUGCAAAAGUUCACGAUAUCUUUUUUUGUUUGUCAUUCAUUUUAAUUUCUAGGCUGAGCUCAAAAUUUCUCGAAAAAUUUGUUGUAACAGUAUGGAGGCAGAAGCUACAACUCUUCUUUGGAUCAUGAUAUGUUUGGAUAAUCUUGGCUAUGAAGAGGUAAUUUCCGAGAGUGAUUCAAAGAUAUUGGAGAAAGCGGUAUAAGCUGAACCUCGAGAAUGGUCAAGGUUUAUAGUCUAUACCUGAGAAAUCAACAAGACAAGAAAAAUAUUAAUUCGACCAACCAUCACUUUCCAAGGAAGACGAGCAAACUAAUGUGUUGAUCUUACAGCCAAUAAAACCUCUUCAUAUGAAGUUCAUUAUGCAUUCUUGAUUAUAUUGUACGUACUCUUUGGUUGAGAAGGAGAAACGAAUUUAUAUGAAAUAUGUUUGAGCUCGAAAAAAUAAGAAAAAUAUGGCAUUAUGUUAAGGAAUGAUGAUAACUCUCCGAAAUUAACAGCAACAAAAAAAUGGAUGACAACUCCUCGUUUACUGGUUUGGAUUCUAUACUAUUACAUUUCGGUUAUUUUCUCAUUUUCACACUUUUCCAUUAUUUUAUAACAUGUUAUGAUGUCAAAAAGAAAUUACAACAUGAUAUAGUGAAAUACAAACGAUAUAACUAUUAAAGUAGCAUUAUUUUAUGGCAUUUUAAAUUUUUAAUUUUGGAUGAUGUUUACUUUUUUUAAUUAAUUUUAUUUCAAUUAGGUAUGUCUCAAGUGGUUAUUUAAAUUCUCUUUCGUUUCUAACAUAAAAUUUUGUUUUAUGUUUAUGAAACUUUUCGCCCGCGUAAAGCGCGGGCUAAAUACCUAGUUUAAUAUUUAAAAUGACACAAUCGUUUUACCAAAAUUUUUUACGUAUAGGAAAUGAUAAAAGAAAAACAUUUACUUGUAAAAUUUUAAAAAUAUAUACUAGAACAAAAAACCUGCUUGUACACGCAGGUGAUCAUCUAGUAGUUAUAAAAAUAGCAUAAUUGUAUGUAUUUCACACUCGUAGACAAUUCUUUACCGAUCUUGCGUAGUGAGAAAAAUAAUACUCAUACUAUUGUUUAUGUCUGGUGUUAAAAAGAUUUUCCAAUAAUUUAUUACAAAAAAAUAAAUUUAAUUUUCGAAAGAAAAAUUAGGAAAAAAUUUAUAUACAUGUUCAUUUGAAUUAAAACUAUGGAAACUAAUGAAGAAUUCAACAAAACCAGGAUUCUUUCUAGUAAUGAUGAAACUUAUUACAAAUAAGAAAGAGUACAAGUACAUGUAAUCUCAGUUUACAAUGAAUCUGCUCACUACUAAAAAAAAAAUGUUUUUUCCAACAAUGUCUUCUGAACCCUUUGAUCUGCUACUAUUAAUCCGAGAAGCAGAAACAUGUUUUCAGCCAAGUGAGAAUUCUUGAUUAUACCCACAUAUCUGCAUCUCCUAAAAUUGAGGUUCCAUACAUUUUCAUUGCUGGAUGCUUGUGAACGCAUACCAAGAUUUGGAUGCUCGUCGAGAGGUUGGGUCCUCUUCUAAAUCCAACACAGGUGAAUGGUUGAGAACUGGAGUGGAUGUUGUUGACUUAAGCAGCAGCAACAACAACAAUACAGAUAAAGCAAUCAAAAGACCAUUCUUGGAUUUGGGUGUCGUUUUUCCUACCAUCACCGUUAGCAACANNNNNNNNNNNNNNNNNNNNNNNNNNNNNNNNNNNNNNNNNNNNNNNNNNNNNNNNNNNNNNNNNNNNNNNNNNNNNNNNNNNNNNNNNNNNNNNNNNNNCUGAAAUCUUCGGUUUGGGGAUUGAGCCUGCUUAAGUCCGCAUUACACAAGCACAUGUAACAUCUCAGAAAAAUAACUUCAAAAUACGGCCAGCAGAUCAGCAGGAUACCGCUUUAUCGAUCUCCUUCACUUAACCGCGUAAUGAUUUUAAAGGCAUGGGGAGACAGUAAAAGCAAGAUUUGAACAUUAGAGUAUAUGUAUGGUUUCUGUUCCUCAGUUUACAUCAUCAGCAUCCACUCCAGUUCUCAACCAUCCACCUGUGUUGGAUUUAGAAGAGGAACCAACCAACCACUUAUAUCCAUUCUGCUCCUGGUGUCUUCCACAGAGAUGUGAAACUACAGAACCUUUUGGUAAGUUGAUCUUAUUGUGGGUUUGUCUUCGGUAACCAUUACUAGAUUGUAAUCCAUUUCUCUGGUGCGUUCUGUAGGUUGAUCCCCUCACUCAUCAGUGUAAGCUGUGUGAUUUUGGAAGUGCAAAAGUAUUGGUAAGGGUUUACCUUAUUUAUGUUGUUUUAUUAUUUUUCCACUGCUUAUGUGUUCUGUCUCAUGAAAUCAAUUGCACCUUAUUUGUUUUCAUGAUCUUUGCAACAUGUGACUAUUGACUUUAGGUGAAAGGUGAACCAAAUAUAUCAUAUAUCUGCUCUCGGUAUUACCGAGCUCCAGAACUCAUCUUUGGGGCCACAGAGUCUACAUCCUCCAUAGAUAUAUUGUCUGCUGGUUUUGUUUUGGCAGAGCUCCUUCUUGGUCAGGUUAGUGUAAACUAAUUUAUCCAUUAAGUAUCUUGAGAACUAAAGCAUCUCUCCAAUAUCUUUGACAAUCAUUUGAUAUUUAUUUAUCUUCAGCCGUUAUUCCCCCAAAAUUCUGUGGACCAGCUAGUGGAGAUCAUCCAGGUGAAGUCUCAUUUUGAUUUAGAGUUUACCUUGGCGUCAUUAUAGAAAAUUCCUAUAAUCUAAUAGAUUUUUCAUUAUGAUUAAAAUUUCGUUCUGUUUAGGUUCUUGGUACUCCAACUCAAGAAGAAAUCCGAUGCAUGAAUCCAAACUUUACAGACUUUAGGUUCCCACAAAUCAAAGCUCAUCCAUGGCAUAAGGUAUUUUAUAUGCAUGUUACGUUCUAACUUUUCUGAUCAUACAAUAGCUUAGUAGAAAAAUGAAAAGCUGAAACAAUACACAUACUACUUUAUGACCUCCAGGUUUUCUAAUAAGCGGAUGCCUCCAGAAGACAUUGACCUUGCAUCUCGGCUUCUUCAACAUUCAUCGAGCCUACGUUGCACUGCGGUCAGUAUCUCUAAACGACCAAGUAUUCUUAGUUGUUAGAGUGGUUCUCUCUGUUUGGACCUGCACUGUUUAAUGAUGCUGGGGCUUUUUAACUGACAUGUGUUAUGUUUCCGUGUCUAAAAAGCUCGAAGCAUGUGCUCAUCCAUUUUUCAAUGAACUACGUGAGCCCAAUGCUCGUCUUCCAAACGACCGACCUCUACCACCGUUGUUCAACUUCAAACAAGAGGUACGUUAGUCCACUUUCCUUAAACCAACCAUUCUUAAACCAAACCAUAACAGAUGUUAAGUUCAAACAGUUUCUUAAUCUUGUAUCUCUCUCUGUUUAAAUGUUAAAACAGUUAUCUGGAGCUUCCCCAGAGCUUAUAAACAGGUUAGUCCUAGAGCAUGUUAGGUGACAGAUGAGUGCAGGUCCAAACAGAGAGAACCAGGUUAGUACUAGAGCACUGUUCAAGCUGGUCUGUAGAAACAACUUCGAAACCAAGAUGUUUUGUUCUGGGUAAAAAAACCCAUCAAGCAUUUGCUUUGGGCACUAGAAUUUCAAUUAUUUUAGAGGCCAUUUUGUAUAAAUAUGAGUUGGUUAAUAUGGUGUAGUGGUCUAUGAAAAAUGUGUUUAUUUGUCAUUGUGUUUGGCAUAUUUUAUUUUUAAUCAGCAUUAUAAUUAUAUUAUAGAAUUAGCUUUUCUGAAACAACUUAAAACAGAACAAAUGAAAUAAAAACUAUAAAACUCCAUUGUCCAUCUUACUGUUUACAUCUACUAUUCAAAAUGAAGAAAAUAACCUAUAUAUUCUUAGGGGAGGUAUUUGGGGAUAACACGUUUUUUAAUUUGGAUAACGACUGAUAGCAUUUGCAGAUUUUUGCAAGAAAAAAGAAGUUAAAUAUAUUUCUGAAUUGGGAAAAAGGUUUAAAACAUUCUCAAAAAAAAAAGAAAAGAAAAUAGUUAUAAAAAAACAGCAUAUAUGUAUUUCCAUUCAUAGACGAUUCUUUACCUAUCUUGCGUGGUGAAAAAAUAAUACUCAUAUUUUUGUCUAUGUUUGGUGUUGAAGAGAUUUUCCAAUAAUCUAUUAUAAAAGAUAAACUUACUUUUACGGAAGAAAAUUUAGGAAAAAAAUCUAUAUAUACAUUGUUCACUCGAGCUAAAACUAUGGAAACUAUAAUGAAGAAUUCAACAAAAUCAUGAUUCUUUCUAGUAAUGAUGAAACUUAUUACAAAUAAGAAAGAGUACAAAUAUAUGUAAUUCCAGCUUAUAAUGAACUUGCUCACUAUUUAGCAAAAAAAACUUUUUCCAACAAUGUUUUCUAUUCUAGUUUUAUUUAUCUCCCUAUCUGGUUAAGCCCUCUACUUCAUUGUAUAUUCUUCACUUUCUGAUCAAUAUAUAUGCUUCUUGUACAGUUACAUGUAAUCCCAGUUUCCCACUCCAAAACCAAACUUCUCCACAUAAGGUCAGCAAUCUGAAAUCUUAUAUAAACCAUCAUAGACAUAAACCUUAGAGCUAACACUGUUCUCGUACAUAAACCCUCUAAUCACCCGUACCUCAAUAUCAUGGUACACUAAAUUCCCACUUUCUAGAGCUUCUAAUGUUGAAUCUGCCUGUGGAGCUUAUCUUGACCACCAUGACCUGUAUAAACCAGAACAUCUCUAUGUGUCUUCAUCAUCCUCGUAAUUACCUGAGACGACAAUGCUGGUGGCUAUGGGUUCAUCUCCUGUGUAAGCCCACCGAGCACAGUUCAUGACGGGCAAAGAAUUUGUUGUUAAUCACGAUUACAGCUUGUAAACUUUUUCAGGUUCCGUUCUCGGCACAAGUAGUACAAGUUGUGAAUAUUCUUUAAUCUAGAAUGAGACUGGAACACCUUAACUCCACAGCCUCUUAAUCCUAUGUGCACAAGAUUCGAUACGCAAUUACGUUAGCCUGUCACAUGUCGACGUUAUUAACUAUCAUAUUAGAAUUUAGCCAGGUUAUUCUAAUCUGGAAAUUUUUCGUAAUAUAUGAGUGUUGAUGCGGACCAUCUGAAAAUGUCUAUUUAAUCCCAUGUGGACGUCACACNNNNNNNNNNNNNNNNNNNNNNNNNNNNNNNNNNNNNNNNNNNNNNNNNNNNNNNNNNNNNNNNNNNNNNNNNNNNNNNNNNNNNNNNNNNNNNNNNNNNAUGAACUGUGCUCUCAGUGGGCUUACACAGCCAGCUACAACGUAGCUCCAAAGGUGAACUGAUGGCCACCAGAAUUGUGGUCUCAGGUAAUUUGAGGAUGAUGAAGACGUAUGUGGCUUGUUACAUUAGUCCCAGCAAAGAACCAAAUGUGAAGGCGCAUUUGGAGCUGUGUAAGCUAAAGCAUCCAGGAGAGAACUAUCUCGGUAAUAUUAGAGUGAUGAGAGUUUAGGAUUGGAAGAAUUGUAUUGAAUGUACAUAGUAGCUACAUUUAUAUAGAGAAUGAAUUAACCUAAUAAUCUAACUAAUAAACUCAUAUAAAGAUAUUUACAAAUCUCUAGAAUAUAUUCACAAUAUCUUCUUUUAUCAUAUGGAUCUUCUAGAUCCUUCUAUACGCCCCCUCAAGCUCAAUGUGUGAUGGAGCGAAGCGGAAUCAAUGGUUUGAGAUUGACUUCAGAUUGAUCAAGUAAGAGCUGGUGUAUUCUUUGGACUUUGUGGAAGACGUUGAAUGCACGUGCUGAACAAGCGGAUGGGAGGACAACAAACCAUGACAACGAGGCGACAAAGAUGCAAGAGAGAUGCGAUAUGAUUGCGGUGAAAGCCUCAAUAGCAUGAAGAACGGUGUUGACCAUGGCGGUUUUGAGCCAGUGGGAUGUGGCAGUGGAAACUGUGCUUGGGUGGAGAUAGGCUCGUGACUUAGUUUCUUGAGGAAGAAGAAAUAGAGUUUAUUUUCUUCCUUUUUAUGUUUUUUUUUAAUUUUUUUUAUUGAAAGAACACGAUGAAAACUUUUUUUAUAUAUAUGACUGAAAUCAAAAAUCAAAAAUUGGAACGAAAACUUGUAGAACAUGUUUUUUUUAAUAGAAUAAAAAAUACAACGAGAAACCAAAAAGAAAAAAAAAUAUAUAUAAAAUAUCUAAUUUUUAUUUUCUUUUGAAUGUAUCAAACCUAAUUAGAACGUAGAAAAAUAAAACCAACGCAGCCACUUAUUAUUUAUUUUUUUGUGAAUAAGAAAAAGAGACAGAUAGAGAUGGGAAGGGGAAACAGAGAGGAAGUAGACCAGCCAUUUGUGUAAGAAGAAGCAAAUGACGGUGAAAAAGAAGAAAUGUAGAGAGAAAAAGGAGUUUGAUCGUUAGAUCUAUAACUCGGAAACACUCUGGCUUAGAUUCAGAGGUCCAUGAUAUAAUUAAAUUUUAGAAGCACUUGGCUUAAGAAAAAAAAUGAAAAAGAAGUUUGAUCACCAGAUCAAAACUUUGGAGCAAACCUGCUAUGAUACCAUAUUAGAGUGAUGAGAGUUUAUGAUUGGAAUAAUUGUAUAUUGACUCACAUUGAUUGAAUGUACAUAGUAGAUACAUUUAUAUAGAGAAUGAAUUAACCUAAUAAUCUAACUAAUAAAAUCAUAUAAAGAUAUUUACAAAUCUCUAGAAUAUAUUCACAAUAUCUUCUUUGAUCAUAUGGAUCUUCUAGAUCCUUCUAUAAUCCGAGCUAAGCUUGGACUAUGGGUCAGCAGAUGAACUGAACGGGAAGCUCUUAAUCUGUAACUGAGUAGCUUCUAUAGCUUGUUUCUGUAUUUUUCUAUGUCUUUACCGAGAUAGCUCUCCGGGAUGCUUUAGCUUGAGGCAUUUUCUCAAAUCAAUGUUCUUUCUACAUCUCUUAUCAUAGGAGUCUCAUUGUCUGUAUUCUCUCUCUCUCUGUUUUGCUCCUAUGGCAUUUCUUUCUUGCUUUAGCUUGGGGUAAUAUCUCAAAUCAAUGUUCUUGCUACUCUCCAUCUCUUAUCAUAGGAGUCUCAUUGUUUGUACCAUUUGCUAGUUCACAUGCCAAAGUCUUACCGUUUUAGAGUUUUCCUUAAAUGCAAUCAAUUUUGUAUUCUCUCUCUCUCUCUGUUUUGCUCCUAUGGCAUUAAUCUGUUGCAACAAUGAUGCAGAUGGAGAAUACUUUGACAAAUUAACAUAAACCUUUCUCUGUUAGUUCGCUGUUCUGUUUUUCCUUCUCUCUUCGAUAUCUGCAAGGCAAGAUAAAUGUUUUUUCUACAUCUCUUAUUAUAGGAGUCUCAUUGUCUGUACUUGCAUGCUCACAUGCCAAAGUCUUGCCAUAUUUGAGUAUUUCCGAAAUUUGUUUUGUUGCUAAAUUAAACCAAUCACAUGAUUCAGUGAAGAAUUAAGGUAGAUUCCAUUUUAUAAACCAGACCAAUUUAUUGUGAUAGAUAAUACAUAUUUGGAAAGUUACAAAUAAAAGAAAUGAAAAUUGCCCCAAGAAAAAAAGAAGAAGAAAUGAAAUAUCUAUCACACUACAACAAGACAUGUUUGGACCACACACAAACUCAAGUGUAAUUUAAUCGUGUGUGAUAACUAACAUCUUUUUAAUUAUUUUUGCUUUUACAUUUGAUCUAUAUUGUGUGGUAUCAACCAAAUGUUUUAUUUGUUUUACAAAAACCGAUAUGAGUCUCUUCCAAAAUUUCAUUCUACAUUUCAUAAUUCUUAUUGUAAAAGUUCACGAUAUCUAUUUUUUGUUUGUCAUUCAUUUUAAUUUCUAGGCUGAGCUCAAAUUUCUCGAAAAUUCUGUUGUAACAUUAUGGAGGCAGAAGCUAUAACUCUUUUUUGGAUCAUGACAUGUUUGGAUAAUCUUGGCUAUGAAGAGGUAAUUUUUGAGAAUGAUUCAAAGAUAUUGGUGAAAGCGGUAGCUGAACCUCGAGAAUGGCCAAGGUUCAUAGUUUAUACCAGAGAAAUUAACAUGACAAGUAAUAAAAUAAUUUGACCAACUAUCACUUUCCAAGCAAGGAAGACAAGCCAACCAAUGUGUUGAUCUUACAGCCAAUAAAACUUCUUCAUAUGAAGUUUUUUUUUUAAGUUCUUCAUAUGAAGUUCAUUAUGCAUUCUUGAUUAUAGUACUCUUUGGUUGAGAAGGAGAAACGGAUUUAUAUGAAAUAUGUUUGUGCUCGAAAAACAAAAAAAAUGUGGCAUCAUGUUAAAAUGAUGAUAAUUCUCCUAAAUGAACAACAACAAAAAAAAAUGGAUGAUAACUCCUCGAUUACUGGGUUUGAUUCUAUACUGUAUUACUUGUCGGUUAUAUAUUCUCAUUUCCAAUUAACUUUUCCAUUUUAUUAUAACAUAUUAUGACGUCAAAAAGAAAUUAUAACAUGGUGAAAUACAAACGAUAGAACUAUUUAAGUGGCAAUAAUAAGAUGAUGUAAGAAUCUGAUCUGAUACUACAGCAAAUAGAUAUUUGUGCUUGGGUAUGCCUAGAUAUUAUAAGCAAGUUGGUCAUAAAUACAAAUACGUUCUGAAAAUGUACCAAAGAGAUAUCUAGCAACCUCCUCCACCACCACCACCGCCACAACCUCCUCCUCCACCACAACCUCCUCUACCACCACAACCUCCUCUACCACCACAACCGCCUCCACCGCCAGACGCUCCAAAAAUAUAUGGUCUAUGUUUCGUCUCAUUUUUUUCAGAUUUUUUUUCACCGGUGCAAACAAAUACGGCCAUGGCUAUUACGGAGAAGGUGGCUGCAACCACCAAUAUCCCACAAACUAAACCAAAGCCACUGGUUCGAACGUCGCUCAAUAUGCUUCUCACCAUAUUCUCUUGUGUAUAUUUUGGUUAAGUUUGAGACUUUGGAUUCGGUUUUGGUAAGGAUUUAUAUAUGCUUUUGGAUGUGUGAGAAAUAAAAAGCAUUAUUUGUAGGUAAUUCUUUAAUGGACAAUGUUGGCUUACCGCGUACGUUAGGUGUGUCGGUGUGUGGUUACGUAAGAGUAAUACGUAAAAAUCUACAAGUUUCUUUGAUGUCAUGUAAGAAAAUUUUGGUUUAUAUGAGGUGGCUACUUUUCAACGUGCUUAGAUUUGGUUCAAUAUAAGCGAUGCUUAAAAGUCUUAUGAUAAGGUCCCUCUGGCUACUUUUCAACGUGCUUUAACAUUUGGUUCUAUAUGAGGGAUGCUUAAUAGUCUUAUGAUAA
Molecule: long non-coding RNA, 50057 nt
Filed under: Eutrema salsugineum
Lineage: Eukaryota; Viridiplantae; Streptophyta; Magnoliopsida; Brassicales; Brassicaceae
Description: long non-coding RNA (ESAL_LNC001937)
Rfam family: Plant small nucleolar RNA R71 (bases 24437-24541)
Source: RNAcentral